This 50066-nucleotide long non-coding RNA is filed under the name Physcomitrium patens. RNAcentral describes it as "long non-coding RNA (PPAT_LNC000704)". The record is from RNAcentral. Lineage: Eukaryota; Viridiplantae; Streptophyta; Bryopsida; Funariales; Funariaceae.
AACUAAAAAAAAAAAAAUCCAGUGGGAGACACAACAGCAAAUGAAUUCAGAAGCCCUCAAUAUCCGUUCUGAGACAACAACACAGAUAUGUAUAUGUACACGAUUAUUCGUCUGAUAACCAACAUCCGUUCUAUCGAGAUUGUGAAGAAUCAACGAGGUGCUUAAGAGUGCAAGGCAUCUUGUUCCACAUAUUCGGUUAGCACAAAUUUUUAGAAGUCAGCCUCAUGAAAGAUAAAUCAAAAGAAACAGCAGGAACCACUUACGUUAAUUGUCAAGAACUCACACUUCCCAACAUCUUCCACAUCCCACCACCAGCAUUCGCAGGUUGAUGGAAGACGUUACGAGCCCACCUCAUGUAAUGUGGGCCACAAAGCCGACAACCCUCAUCUGACAAAGCAAUGCCCCAAGACAAUCUGUACAAAAGGGAUCAAUGCCAUCAUGUAACCGUGCCAUAAAAAAGAUCUUCCAACUUGACUCAUUCAAACCCUGCGAUUCCAUAUAUCCUUGUAAUCAACCAGGUGUCAGACAACGACAUCACAGCCAGCACGCGCAAUAAAAAGUAGGCCACAACUAUAUUCCAAGCAUAAUCGAGUAGCUGACAAAUGCAAACCAACGAACUUACCCCAAACGGCUUACUACGGCAGUACCCUGAAACCGUCAAAUUUUCCAAGGAAACUAUAACAAAGAAAUGUGUGUAUUUAUAUGAAUGCUCCACAGGCUUGAAAUUUUCAAACUACAUUGUACAUAGGACCAACCAGCAAAACUAAGGAUCAAUGUGUCUUCCUAAACCAACUAGAAGUACAUCGAGGAUUCCUUCCAACAAGAAGACCUACUGCAACUGAUCAAGCUCAACAAUGUCUGCACCACAUAUCACUUCCACCUCCUCCGUCUCCUACUCUCCAUUACCCAUCCCCCCUUCCACCCUCCAUUCCAAUCAUCACCAUCCACAUCCACAACUCUCUGCACGCCAAAAUGUAAUUCUCCAAUAAAUAUAACCAUAGCACCACCUCGUCCCUAAAUCUGUUCAGAAUCUAGUGAUUACCGUAUCUCUCUCCAUGGUGCACAUCUUAACCAUGUAGUCUCCACUACUUUACUACACAACAGAGUUCUGAAAAAAUCAAGUGGUAUCGGACAUUCCAAUUCCUACGCAACCAAAAUAAACACAGAAGACCGCCUCCUACCCACUGCUUCCUCUAACUCUCGGCCCUCCCCCUCCUCCCCUACCCCUUCUCCUACACCACACCUACUGGCAGGUCACUCCAUUCCCAUCCGACCACUCGAUCGGCUCCUCGCCGCCUGUGGCUCCACAUUUCUGGACCAUGGUCAUGCAGCCAAAAUCCUGCCGCCUUUACUUUAACACUAGGUCGACACGCCUGCGCCCAUCCCAACACAAUCCCAUCGUCAGCCCCGCAACACAAAUCCCGCCACAAAUCACCCUCCCACCACCACUUCCUUCACGCAUCGCACGCACCUACUACCCGCCCCACAUCUCUACCCAUCAUGCGCUACCUCGACACCGCUCUUACCACUACUCUCCACCAUCUAAGCACCCCNNNNNNNNNNNNNNNNNNNNNNNNNNNNNNNNNNNNNNNNNNNNNNNNNNNNNNNNNNNNNNNNNNNNNNNNNNNNNNNNNNNNNNNNNNNNNNNNNNNNGUUCACCGCUCCCUCCGCGCUCGCACCUCCGCCCACGCCGAACCCCGCUCCGCUCCCGCCCCCCACCGACCCUGUCGUCCCCGAAUUAUACGCCUCCGACCCCGACGACCUCCAUGUGUUGUCCGCGUACCCUGAAUAUGCAUCCCCGUACCCUCCCCCACCGUAGCUCCCGCUCCCCGUCCCCGCGCCCGAGCUCCCGUACCCUCCUCCUCCCCCGCUCGAUCCGUACCCGCUACCCCUACCGCCAUACCCACCCGCCGAUCCGUACCCUGUCUCGCUGCUCCCGUAACCAUACCCCGCAGCACUCCCGUACCCCGAGCUCGCUGCUGCCCCCGCUCCCGUCCCCGUCGUCCCCCACGCCGCAUUCCCGUAUCCGCUCAUGCUCCCGCUCCCGCUCCCCCCGUACCCAGUCGAGCUCGCGCCCGUCCCGUAUCCCCCACCCCCGCUCCCCCACGCGCUCCUCCCUCCCGCAGGGGCGCUCCCGUACCCUGCGCUCCCCGUGCCCCCGCUGCCAUACCCCGCCCCGCUUCCGUACCCUCCCGCUCCGGGAGCGCUCCCGUAACCUGCACUCCCAUACCCUCCCGCUCCGCUCCCGUACCCCCCGCCGCUCCCGUACGCGCUGCCUCCAUACCCCCCGUUCAUCCCCGCGCCAUACCCCGCGCUGCUCCCGAAUCCCGCUGCGCCGUACCCCGCGGCCCCGUAUCCCGGAUACCCGCCUCGCCCCACCGGCGUCGGCCCGUACCGGCUGUCCCCGCGCCCCCCGUAUCCGCUCCCUCCUCCCGGACUCCCACCCCCGUAUCCUCCCUGGCUGUACCCCGAUCCGUAGUUGCCCCCGCCGCGACCGCCUCCGCCGAACCCCCCGCCAGCCCGCCCCGACCCCGCCGACAGCUCCUUCGGAAUCGCCUUCUUCACCUCCACCAUCUUGUCGUUCAGCUCGUGGAACGACUUCUGGAUCACGUUCUCAACUGCAUCCUCAGAAUCAAAAGUGAUGAAGCCAAACCCCCGAGGCCUUUGCGUAUUGUGGUCAUACAUAACAACCACGUCUGUAAUAGUACCAAACUGCUCGAAAUACUUUUUGAAGUCAUCCUCUGUAACUGUCGAGGCUAAGCCCCCCACAAAUAUCUUCUUUGUCCUAGUGUGGGAUGUUGCAGGCCCUUGGCCACCCACGCUGUUGCUCCUAGGUAUACUCUGCUGUUCGUCUCUCGGCACAGCUUUUUUCGCUUCCACCUAGAAUGGGAAAAAAAAAUAUUUAACAAAGACACGCUACACAAAGUUAUACAACUGCCACACAACCUCAUGCCACCAACCACCAUCACCACACGCACUCCCGCAUGCCACCCCCCUCCCAUGCAUUCAACUCCACCUCGAUCCCCCUUCGCCCGACACCUACCGCCCCCCUCCCUCCCUCCCACCCUCGCGCCCUACCGCACUGACCUCACCACGCCACCGGCCCUCCCCUCCCCUCCCCUCCCCGAGUCCAAGACAGAGCGCUUACCGUUCUUCCGUCGAUGGUGUGCUUCUCGCCGGCCACCCGAUCGGCCACGCUCGGGUCCGCGAAUAUCACGAACCCGAACCCCCGCGCGCGCCCCGUCGCGCGGUCCUUCAUGAUCACCGUCUCCGCCACCUCGCCAUAGCUCUUGAAGUAAUCGCGCAGCUUCUCCUCCGUCGUCUCCCAAGAGAUGCCGCCGAUGAACAGCUUGCCCUGAUCGGAGUCCAUGGCCGCCGACCCGUCCUGGUCCGCCAGACUUCCCGCCCUCCUAACUCCCGCUGAAAUGGUUAGAAAAAUCGGACUCCACCAAACCCAAAUGCCCCUUACAUACACAAAGAUCUAAAAUGAUGUAAAGGAGAGGGAGAGGUAGAGAACUGCUUGGACGAUCCGCAUUCAACGCGCGAACCAACAGGCCGCGGUGGGGCAGGGGGGAAGGAGAGGGAAGCGUGAGCCUAGGGUUAGCAGUGACACCCGAAGCGUGGUACAAAAAUAAGAGAGAAUGGGGAGCGGACUACAAUAGGAGAGAUGGAGGGUGGAGAAGGACGUGUGACGAGGCAGUCUCAGGAAUGAGAGAGAGAAAAAGACGAGGCGGAGAGUAGACGGGCGCGGGAACUGGCAAGAACGGGACGUUCCCUGGGUGCCUGCUUUCGUCCAUUCACGGGAGCCCGUCGAAGCCGGGGCUACGUCACUGGCUUCCACGCCCGCCCGCGCGCUUGUCAUGCCUCUUGAGGAAAUGGGUCUUGCCGCGUGUUCAUUCGCUUUGUGACACCCAUUCUAACUGCCCCGCACGGACUCUAAUUGCUUUCUAGUGUUAUGGUUGGUGCCCGAGGUUGCGGAGGCGAUCCCCAAUCCUUCCCCCCCACGACUCACCUUUUCAAACUAAGUCUUCCUCCUCCAUGACACCAUUAUAGCCCACAUCCUGCGAAUAACAGCUCCAACUAGUGUUUCCGUUAUCCUCCCCAACUCACUGAGCCUGUCCGCCCCUCUUUCUCUCUGGAUGUUCGUUCAUCCACCUCGAUGUCAUCACCUAUCAUUGGUUUGUGUUGUUGAAUCGCAAUGGCAAUUCGUACCCCCCUCAUCGUGUUCUUUGUUUCUUCUCUUCGGUUUGUCUGUGCGUGCUGUCAUCCAUUGAACAUCCACCCUUCAUCUGGAGUAAACAUGGAUGAGAAAAAGUGGAUGAAUGUUUAGAACCGAGUGGUUCGUCACACAUGAGAGGGCACUAGCUUCGAUGAUGGCGUCUGGAUUCUAAAUUUGGACGAAACCAGUGAUGCUCGAAGAGCGGGUAUAUCGCCCGAGUCAGAGCCCCAGUUCCAUUCUACUCUAGACUUUGUUGUGAGGUGAAUUUGGGAGAGUGCAACCUGCGUUUGAGUAAGUACAAUUAAGCAGUGGAAAAGGUGCGGAGGAUCUGGAUUUUGUUUCCGGUGGCCAGAUUGUAUUGCGUUGGUUGGUUUGGAAGGCGUAGUUUGUCCUUUGCUCCGAAAACUUUUUUGAAUGGAGCUGGCGGAUGUUUUAGCGAAAGACAUGUCCUCGUCAUCCAGGAUAAGUCUAAUACUCGGAUUGAAGAAGGGAAAUCCGAGGAAAUUUAGGACACUGAGACGCCGGUUGUUCCUACGGAAUAAGUUCCGAAUAAUGAUUAUAUUUCAUCGGGACUUCUGUUGAGGCUGUAAGUUUGCGAGUUGCCAAAUUUAGAUGUUCUCCAGGUGUUCUAUCAAUUCUUCUCAGGCUUCCAAUCUGGACAAGUUUUAUACGGAAGAUUUGAAGUAAUGCAGCAGGCUUCUACAGUUUAACGUAUACGAGAAUUUGUUUAUCUCAUUUCUUGCACGGAGGUGCCCGUACAGAAGUUUGUUUCGGAGUUUGUUUACCUGUUUUGUUGGAUUUCUUCUGAGUUUAUCUUAGAAUUACAAGGUUUGUAUGUUUAUCGCGGAUGGCAUUUGUUGUCAACCUUUUUGUUGUGGAAGUGUCUGGAUUCGUGAUAGUGUGACCUGUUCGAAAAAGUACCUACGAAAAAUUAUCCUUAUCUAUGAUCGUCUGAUUCGAUGUUCUCGUUGAGCAUUGAACAGAGCCUCUGUCCUGCUACGGUUUGUCUUUACCAUCCAGGCAUCGACCUGAUUUCCUGUUUUUCCUUAUCAGGUAAUCUCUUAAGGAUCACUUGCGAGUAGUUUCAGUCCAUAGCGUGAAGCACGAUAAAUUUGCACUAAGAUUAGUGCCUGGUUGCUUUCUCAUCAAUAUUUUUGCUUCUGGACUCCUGUCAGUCAAGCUUUUGAUAGUUGAGAGAGCAGUGUUGCCGAUAGAGAAUGCUGUCGAUGGAAGCACUCAUCGCAAUUAUGAUCUACUUCAAAGUCAUCGUCCCUACAUAGUUGGUAAACUUCAACUUGCAGUUCAUCAUUGUCGUACAUGACUUCCAGGCGUUAAGGAAGCGGGAUUACUACGAGUUUUUAGUCACACCCUGAUACAUAAUGCUUCACACACUAGUGGUUGCUUUGUUCGAGGUGUAUUUUCAUUAUCAGAAUAGUGUAGGGUAAGAGUGGCUGUGGUGUAAAAUUUUCCAAGUUACUGGUUUAGAAGUUGCUGCUUGAAAAACACCAUGUCUCUUUUAGUACUACUUCCAGUUGCCAGUAGCAUGAGGAAGUGUGUAUUGCUACUAGUUACUGAACUUCUAAUCGAGAGUUUUUUUUCCAUUGUGAUGUAGAGAGUCGUUAUAUAUCUAAGUCAUUAUUCUUUAUAAACAAAUUACUGUUAUUAUUAUCAACUCAUUGCCCUUUAGUUUCGUUUAUGUCUGAUGUAGAAUGUAAAGUCUUUCAUAUUUGCAUAAUGGUUGGAACAUUUAUUAUCUGGUUUUAACUUUGUUUACAAAUCACAGUCUCUAACUCAAUGUGAGCAAACAUCGACGAAGUUCGUCAUGACUCGAAACUUUAGGUCAUACAGCUGUAGCUGCACAGGUAAUCAAACUAUUGAUUUUUGAAGUUUGUAAUUCAGAUGGCUGUUAUAACUAUAAAAUCUCUCUAAGCGUCAUUUCUACCUUUUGAGAUUUCAUGUUAGGAUUUUGGAAGGGGAUAUUUCUAUUUUUCUUUAAACUAUGUUAUUUCUGAAGCUUAGUUGCGGAGACAGUUUUGUGCGUUCACUUGCAUUGAUUUAGUGAUUAUUUUCAGGGUGAAGUUUUGUGCCUUUCUUGAUUGUGCAUCUAGUUGUGUUUUCUGAUGUUAAUCGAAUGUGCAGUGCUUUUAAUCUUGCGCAGGACUUCUAAUGGAGAAUCAGAUUCAAGGUAAUGUGAUACUGAUUUUCGCAGUUAAUCAUUCAUAAAAUUCGGAAUAAAGGAGUUGCUGGAAAUGCACGGGCCACAGAAAUAUACAGGCAGGACAUCCUUAAAGAUGGCAAACGGGUAUUAUUCUGUCCCUUUGAAACGUAUAAUUUAUUUUGGACAGAGCCUGAGGAUAGACAAAUACAAGUGUCAAUUUCUGCUGUUGGAAGGUCUUGUUUUUUGUUGUUUAGUGAGAAGUGCUUUUCCAGUACGUUUCUGGGUUGAUCUUGGGCACCAACAUGGAUUCAGGAUACACGAUCAUUGCCUGAAGUGGGUAAUUUGUGAUAAUAGAAAGUGCAGGAUGAUCUAGACAAUAUCACUCGCUUUUUAAUGCUUGCUAAACAACCUAUUGUUCCAGGAACUGGUCUACCAUUAAAGGUGGGAUGGGUUUUCAUUCUUUAUAGAUACACUAACGUGAAUUUUUACUAUUGAACAAGAACCUGACACGUCAAGAAUCUUAUUGGUGUAUACCUGCAGCUGUCUAUGGCCAAGUGAUCCAUGGUUGUUGUUAGCAGAUAUGCAAUUUCUUUCUUGGGAUGACAUUGCAUGCAAACAGUCUUUUGCCUGUGCAAGUCUCAGUGUUUUCUCAACUUUUUAAGUUUGAGGUCUCCACUUUCGUGCAUAUUCAUUGCUCGAAAUUGUCUAGGUGAUUUGUCUUGACGCAGACCAGUAUUGUGCCCACAUUCUAAGAAGGACCAGGUGUUCCGUUCAAGGCACUCACUGUCUUAGCACUGCGAAGCAUCAAUCUUACGAAGGUAUUCAAUUUCUGUAGUUCUACAUGGAUUAAAUGGUAAUGUACGUGGAUUGUGGUGCACAAGUAUUUGAAACUCUUAUAUUGACUUGGCAGAUUGAAAGUCGUCCUCAACGAAAGAUGCCUUUGCACGUGGUGGAUGAUAGUAACAAUUGACGUGCUUUCACAACCUCUUAAUUAAUACAUUUCAUGUUCUUUUCAAUCCCAACAAGGGGUCCCUCAUUUUACAAGUUUAUUUUUGUUCAACCUGUUUCAGCCACAGCUUUAGGUGAACACCCCCACAAGUAUAUACCAGUAGGAUUUUUUUUUUUUUUUUUUUUUUUUUUUUGUUUUCAAAUCGGAUAUUGAUAUGCUUGGCAUAGAUGUGCUAGCAUUUUGGUCAUUUGAAGCUUCAAUGCGAGCCUCAGACAGCUGCUCUCUCUCUACACUUGAGCAUAAUGUUGGGCUGAGUUGUAACUAAAAUUAGGGAUAUUGUUGUACUUUCUUCAUUUUUGCAGCAGUUUUGUGGUUGAGAGGCUUCAAAACUCUAUGUUCACAUAAUUGAAUAUCUGAUCAUAUUUGAAGGUAUGUACAACUUUGGGUUCAUUAAUAAAUUAUAAUUUAUGAAAUGUUACUUUCACUUGAGUGUGAGUGUUUGUAACAAAAUUGAAUAAUCUUUUUGUGUGUUCUUCUCAGAUUUGAACAUUUCUUGACAAAGUGACAAUAGGUUAACAAGGAUCAAGUUGCACAUUGACAUGGCUUUUAAGAUUUCUUAUUAUUUCUCCUGUAAUUAUUUUAAGGUUUCUUUUAAAUUUGAUUAAAGCUAGUGUUGCAUUGUUAAGAUUUAAUUAGAGUUUAUUUAAUAUUCUAUUAGACUUAAGAUUUUGUAAUAGCAAUUUCGAUUUUACCUUCCAUAAUACAACAUAUUUGGUGAAUUCGACAUAAAAAACCUGAGAUGAAAGAUAUUUGGUUUUCUUGGAUUAUUUAAAUUAUACAAAAGAAAGGCAAGAGAGUUGAAAGAGGAGCUAUAAGUGGCAGAACUAGUAAAGAACAAAAUAUGUAUUUCAAUCUCAAUUUUGCAAACAUAUUUAAAGCUUUUGCCUUAUUUAUGCAAUAACAACAGAUUAAAGAUCGCAAAGAAAGUAUGGCAAAAAAAACAUUACAAGAAGUUGUAAAUAAGAUUGAUUAAUUUGAAGAAAAUGAUAUUAUAAAAUAUUUAAGGUGUUAUGUCAAAAAAAUAAAAUUAAAGUAUAUUUAAGAAAGGAAGAUGGUUCAAUUAUUUGAAUUAGCCUUUGUACCAAAGAUAAGAAAUCAAGUAAAGUUUCUUAUAGCACAUUUUGGAGGUUUAUAAGAGAAAUUUUCCCAAGCAUUGAAGGAUGAAUUUUUUUUGGAAGAUAGUAACAAGGUUACAAAAAAAGUCAUUUUUUGAAUGAAUUAAAAGGAAAAAAAAAAAAAUGAUCUUCUAGCAACAGAAUCAUUAAAAAAGUUUGAAAAGCAAUAUUUUUAUUUAUCAAAGAAAGAUGGGUAGUUAUUAGAUCCAAGUAAAAUCAAGCUUUUUCUUUAAGUAGGUAAUGAAGAAUUGCAAGAAAAGUUGGAAAUUUUGCUUGAAGAUAAAGAAGAAGAUGAAGGAUUAACAACAAAUUGGGAAGAAGUAGAAGAGGUAGUAGAAUUGCUUGCAAAAAGAGAAAAGAGAAUAAAAAAAGGACAAGGUGGGUAUUCAAAGACCAUUGCAAAUAUCCCAAGUAAGAAUACCUACUACCAAUCUUAUAUCUAUGAUUCAACCUUCAAUGGCUACAUCAAAGAAAGAUGAAAUGGACAUCAAUGAAAUUAUAUAAGAGAUGAGAGAUUUGCAAAUAAAAUUUGCAAAAUUUGAAGAGAAGGUUCAAUCAUCAAGAGUAUUAAUAAAACAAAGGUUAGGAUCGAUAGAAGGUGUAGUACAUAGGUGCAUGUGAUAUGAUAGCAUAUAUCAUUCGAGAAGGAAAUGUGAAGAUUUUAUAGAGGUGUUACAUAAAGAGAUUGUUUUUUUCAAAGUUGAUAUAAUACACCUAAAAAAAAGUGAAGAAAAAUUGGAGACAAACUUUGGCAAUGGAGGUAUGAAAGUAUUGAUGGUUCAUGCAAAGGAAACAAAGACAUAUAGAAUUGGACUUACUCAAGAUUGUGCCAGCAUAAGCAUUAAAGCAUUGGAUCAUAUAAAUUCAUUGUGGCCAAGUACAAUGAAGUGUGCGGCAAAUGACAAGGUUGCUAGAAAUAUAUUAAUUAAUGCGGGUAAGUCUAUUCAAGAAACCAUGGGUUGGAAUGAUCUGAUUGAUAGUCUAUGUGUACAUGCAUAUGUUGCAAAGAAUCAACAUAAAAGAUUAAUAGAAGAAAAAUAAAAGAGAGAUGAAAAUAAUGAAGGGCCAUGAGAUAAAAGAACUAUGAGGGGAGAAAAAGCACGACAACAUAAAAAUCCUAUGCAUGAAGCGACAAAAGAGAAUAUUUUUCCAAAAGAAAGAGAAAUUGUAAAAGAAAAAGCAAAGGCUCCUAUUUAUAAAUUACAAUCACAUAUUGAAGCAACAACGGAUUUGAGGAAGAUUUUAGAAGAAUGCAUUUUAAAUGGCAAGGUGGAAUUUACACAUCACCGAAGAGAUGAUAUUGGAACGAGGAAUCCUUGACCUAGUUGCAUGGAAUGGGCAGCCACCAGUAACAGUGAAAUUGAGCAUAUCAUAUUACGUCACUGCUUCAUUCGCAUCAUCGACAUUUGCAGCAAAUAACAACGUUGUUCCAGGUCAAUAAUGGCUAACAGUAAACACAGAGAAUGCGAGGCAUAAAUUCAAAGCUCGCCAGGUUCCUUUGCCGGCGCCACUCUUCCCCAACGUCGUUUAAAAUUCCUCGAUCCUGGAUGAUUUCUAUAUAAUAGUGGCAGGGCUCUCCCUGGUUAUCAUUCACAUCAUUUUUCUGAUCAUGUGCUGUACUACUUCACUCCCGUACUCGACAACCAAAUCCAAUAAUAACAUUAAGGCUGGUUGAUGAAUCUCAACAAUUAUGAGAUGCCCUCAACCCUGCAGUUGCAAGGAAGUCUACCGAACUUCCGAAGAUGCCGAAAAUUAGCUAUACUAAGGACUUGUGCAAUCCAGAGAAGUCAAUCAAAUUCGGUCCAUAUGGACUACCGCUUCAGAAAUCAUCAGAGCAUUGAGCGAGGUCAUGGAGAGAUAUACCCGAGAACACCGUGCAACAGUAGUGAACCCUAAUGCAAGAUACGAGUAGAAGAUGUUGUACUGUACCCUCGACCAGUGCGACUCUAGAACGAAUGUCUGGAGGACGAUGGAGACUUGGAAUAUUGGAGCUGGGAGGAGCGCAAUCAUUGGGAUUCUACUGUAAAUGUUUCUAAAUUGUAACAUAAAUUGAUAAAAACAAUCUUUGAAGAGAACAUUUAGAGAUCAUUCUUCAGUCUGUUUCCUUGUGAUAUUGCAUUCCCUAGAGCUCAUUCUCCAACCCAUUCUCCUAAUUUGUGUUUUGUAUGGCAGAAGCAGUGGUUGGAGAAGAAGCAUGUGGGAGCUGGAAUCUAGCUCAGUAUUUGGGUUGGUGACGCCGACGAGCUGGACAUAGCCCAUGGUGACAGUGCGGGAGCCGAAAUACAUGAGCUCAUCGUGUUCUAUCCCACAGCCGCGUUUGCUGAGACCACAGCCGUCACUGCAAUGAGACAAGUGGCAAAGUGUUGGAGCAGGAGGAUGACAUCCAGUAUGCACACACGUUGCCGCUGUCCAUCACGCCUAGAUCGCUCCACAAUCAUCGAACCCGUUUCUUCUACAAUUAUGCGGCGUUGUCUGAGGUGCCUUCAGAUGCGACUCCCCAGACCAUCAGUGAAGUGCGGAGAGUUUCCACCGCUAACGGUCGUAGAGUUUGAGGUGCCGACUUGUCACACUGACUCCACAGAACUGGCUCUGGAAGAUUGUAUGACUUGCGUUACCUCGGUGGAAGGACCAGAUACUAACUGAAAGAAGGAGUUAGUUGACCAACGCAGAUCCAGACCGGACUGUCUGUGUUCGAGCACAAGAGGGAGAAAUCCACGCCUCGAUAUGGGUCAGGUUUCGCAGCCGGAGAGGAGAUUUGGGAGGGGCUCAACAAGGAUGAAUCAACAUUCAUAGAUCCAAACAAUGUUCCGAAAUCGAGUGGAAAUGAAUUCUACAGCGAAUAGUUUGUGUGUUUUUUUUUCUACGCAAGGAAUUGCGUUAGUAAUCGGACGGAUUCUUAUGGGCCGCGUAGCACCUGAACCUCUGUGUGGAUGCCAUAGCCAGCAUGAACAUCGGCCGCUUUCAACGUCUCCUGUGGGUUUACGAUCAAAUAUCAAAAUGUCACCGUAAUGAAUGUGAAUAUGUCGAUAUUAAAACGUUAUCAACGCUUACUCUCAUUGUUAGAUGUCAAAAUGUAGUAAGUUCCUUCUAUAAAAUAUUAAGAAUGACUUACAAGGUUGAUAUCAUUCAUGUUUUUAAAUUUGAUGGCACAUACUUUAACAUUUGGCAACUUUAACAUUUGGCAACUUUAACAUUUGGCAACUUAAAUCCUUACAUAUAGCACCUAAUACAUCACAAAUUAUUGCUAGUAUGUCAACUUUGCAUGCUACAAGAGUUAAAAACAAUACCCAUUGAGAAGAUAGAGAUAUAUUAUUUCUAACAAUAAUUAAUAAUUUUCUCAAAAAUAACAUUAUAUUACAUAUACAAUUAUAUAAGACAUCAAAUAAAUUAUGGAAGGAAUUAAAAAGUAUGUUUGAAUCAUAAGAUGCAAUAACCAAGAUGUAUCUUAAAGACAAACUACACACUCUUAAAAUGAAAGAAAAUGAGAGUAUCACUAAAUAUAUUCAUGUGUUUAGAUCUUACCUUAAGCAAUUGCUAAUAGCUAGAUGUCCAAUUCAAGAUGAUGAAACAAUUUUAACUCUUUUGAGAAGUUUUCUCCUAUCUUAUAGAUCUAUAAUUAACUCUUUAAGAAUACAAAUAGAUAUUUUAUACAAUCAUUAAUAAGAAAAUUAAUAAAAUAAAAAAUCUUAAUAAAGGAUAUGAAUUUAGCUAUAAAAAAUAUAUUAGUUUUUUAGGUUUAAAAGAAGCAAUCUUAUAAUAAUAAAAAAUCACACUAUAUUAAAAAAAUAUAAGAAUUUUUAAAAAAAGUUUAAAAAAUCUUCUUGAUCUUUUGAGAAAAAGAACUAUUCUAUUGACAAGAAAUGCUUUUAUUGUAAAAAAUAUAUAUAUCUUAUUUAUAAUUGCAAAGAAGAAUAGCUACUCAAGAGAUAAAAUAAUUAAAUAUGGUUACAAAAUCAAAUAGACUUUAUGGAAUUAUAGUCACAAUCUACUUCUAUGUAAUAUGUAAAUUCUAGAGCAACACAACAUAUGUAUCAUAAAUCAAAUAUUUUCACUAAUUAUCUAAAGUAUGUAAAUUAAAAACUUAUGCAUUUAUAAGAUGAUUGUACAUCUUAUAAAAUAAAAGAACAUGGUGACGUUACAAUAAGACUUUUAACUGGUAUAGAGAAAAUCAUAUCUAAUGUCAUACAUGUAAUUAAACUUGUAAAGAAUUUGUAAAUAAUUAGAGAAAAUUAGAGGUGAAAUUUAUAUUAAAUUUUGAAUUUAAACAUUAUUAAAUAAACAAGACCAUACAAUUGCAAGGUGCAAGUUAAAUCCCAACUUAUAAAAUUGGACAUUAUUAUAAUCUCAAAUCAAAAAGCAUUGGCAAUACCAACUACUAUACAAAAUUUGAGUAAGGCUGAUUUAUGACAUCUAAGACUAAGCCAUAUAAAUCAACAAUUAAUGUCAAAAGGCAUUGAUCCUUUUGAUAUAUAUAAAAUGACUUUUUGUCAAUUAUGUAUUGAAGGUAAACAAUACAAAGAAAAGUUUCCUAUAAGUGGCAUACAAAAAGCUACAAAGCUUUUUAAACUUUUUCAUUUUGACAUUUGCGGCCUUGUGUAAAUUGAUACAUAUUUUGGAUGUAAAUAUUUUGAUACUUUCAUAGAUGAUUUAUCUAGAUAUUAUUAUGUCUACUUAAUAAAAAAAAUCUAAAAUAUUUGAUAAAUUCAUAUUCUAUAAGAAUUUUAUAGAAAAAAAUUAAUCACAAAAUUAUAAUCUUAUAAUUUGAGUGUAAAAAGAACAUAGAUAUAUAUAUAUAUAUAUAUAUAUAUAUAUAUAUAUAUAUAUAUAUAUAUAUAUAUAUUUAAUUCAUUUAGUGAUUUUUGUAAAAAUAAAGGCAUCAAAAGAACUUUAAUAGAAGCCAUUUUAGUUAUGUUAUUAUAUGUUAAAUUACCUAAAUAUUUAAAAAAAGUAUUUCAGAUUAUAAAUUAUCUCUAAAAUAAAAGUUUUACUAAAAUUAUUAUAAAAAAUAAAAUUUAUUUUGAAAUAUGGUUUAGAAGAUGACUUAAUCAAUCUUAUUUAAAAGUUUUUAGGAGUAAGUUCAUAUCCUUGUUUAAAAAAAAACUAAAAGAAAGUUUGACUCUUAUUCUAUAAAAGCUAUUUUUUUAAGAUGUAAUAAAGAAUCAAAUGCUUAUUGCCUUGUAAGCAAACAUAAUAAUAUCAUUGUAGUAUUCUAAAAUGUUAUUUUUAAUAAAUGUUUUUAUGUUAAAUCAAGAGAUUUAGAAUCUAUCAACUCUUUUAUAUCUAUCACAAGUCUAGUUAUCAAGCUAAUAUGGCUAAGACAACACAUCUUCAUCUAAAACUUUCUAAAACUAUGAUUGAAGCUUUAGCCAAACCUAAUGAAUAUCAUUGGCAAGUAUCCAUUAUUGUUGAAUUUAAAUCAUUAAAAAAGAAAAAAUCAAACUUGAAAGUUAAUACUACUUCUAUUAAUUAAAAAUUGAUUAGCUUUAAAUAUGUCUUUAAGAUUAAAACCUAUGCUGAUGGUACUAUUAAUUAAUAUAAAGCUAUGCUAAUAGCAUGUGGCUUUAUUCAAGUACAAGAUAUUAACCAUUUUAAAAUAUUUUCCCUUAUUCUAAACUUAAUUCCAUAAAAGUCCUAUUACUCAUAGCUACUUGAUAUAAUUUAGAAAUAUAUCAAUUAGAUGUCAAAACAAUCUUUUUUAAUGAAUAUAUUGAUAAGGACAUAUAUAUAUUUAUCUCUAAAGGAUUAUCAACAUCUUUUAAUUCCAACAUAGUGUGCAAAUUCAUUAAGUUCUUAUAUAGACUUAAAUAAUCUUUAUAAGUCUAAUAUGUAUAUUUUGAUAAUUACUUUAUUCAACAAGAACUUAUUAGAUUAGAUGUUAAUACAAAUAUCCACAUUAAAAGAGAUAAUAAUAAUAAUAGAUUUAGUAUUUUGACAAUCUAUUCUAAUAACUAUAUAUUUAUUAGUAAUAACAUUUCAUUUAUUUACAAAAUAAAACAGAUUCUUUACUAGACAUUUGACAUAACAAACAAAGUUAAAAUAUAUAAUAUACUUAGAAAUUCUAUUACUAAAAAUUGGCUAGAAGGUUGGACUAUCUUAUAUUAAUAAUAAUAUUUAUUUGAUAAAUAUAAAGAAUAUUAUCUAUUAAAUUAUAAUCCUUUAAGUACACCUAUAUAAUAUGAAAUAUAAUUAAAUAAAGAUGAUUCUUCUUCUACCCAAGAGGAAAAGAUACUUAUUAGUUUAUAUUCUUUUUCUUAAUUGGUUUGGCAAGUUUAUACAUAUGCAAGUUAAUUCUAGACCAGAUUGUACUUACACUAUUAAUAAUAUAGCAUAAUAUCUAUUUAAUCUUGAUUAAUUCUAUAUUCAAAAUUUAAAAAGAACUAUGCAAUAGAUCAAAGAUAUAUUAAGUUUUAAUAUUAGAUGUAAAUAAUUACAUAUUGGGCAUAUUUUUUAUGGUUAAUCAAAUGUUGAUUGGACCAAUAGUAAAAAUGUUUAAUGUUCAACUUUGGAGUAUUGUUUUCUUUUGGUUGACAUGGUUAUUACUUGGGAUAGUAAAAAAACAACAAAGUAUUUUUUUAUCUUCUAUAAAAUUAUAAAACAUGGCUUUAGCUAAAAUUAAUGCUAAAUUUUUAUAUUAAUACAAAUUAUUAACCAAAUUAAGGUUUUUAUAAUUUUAUUUUAUUAUUUUAUAUUGCAAUAAUUAAAGUGUAAACUCCAAGUAUCAUUCUUAUAAUAAGUAUGUAAACAUAUAACACAAUUUAUCAAAGAAAUAUUUUUUCUCAUGAGAUUCUAUUAAGUUGUAUUUUUAUAUUUAAUAUGAUUACUGAUAUUUUCACUAAGUCUUUAUAUCAAGACAAAUAUAAGCAUUGUCUAAUCAACUUGAGAAUGUGUUUGAUUCCAACCAAGGCUAAUUCAAGAAGUGAAGCCUUUGCCACUUAUAUAUAAUACUUUGGUUUUAAUCCACAUUCUUCUUACUCAUGUAAAAACUAUUUACUAUUGUGUAUCUAUAAUUAUUACCUCAAGCAUUUACUACAUUAGUUAUUUAUGCAUGUCCACAUAUUCUUUUAAUUUAUGAAUCUAUUAUUUAUGUCUCUUAUAACAAUAAUACAUAAGUUAGGAUAAUUUGAUUGAUCUUAGAGUGGAAGAUUGUGAGUCAUAAAAAUGACUUUUUUUUAGUUUUAGAAGAAAAAAAUACACUUAGAAUAUCAAAAAUCACAAUUAUUAAGUAAAGUGAAUGUAAAAAACUCUAGAUGAGUGAAUAAAUAGUAUUAAUUUUGGAAAUGUGAUUCUUUAUCAAAAUUCUUAAUUAUAUUGUUAAAAUCUCAAAUUUGAUGAAGCUAGAUGAAGAUGAAAAUUAAUUUAAUUUAUAAAAAUUUGAUAAUGGGUGAAUAUUAUAUUAGAUGAUUAAUUAAGAUUAAAUAAAGCUAAAUUAUAAUUUAAAUAAAUUUAAAAUAGAUGAACCAAGUUAGAUAAAUAUUGAUUUAUAGAUGAAUUUUUAUUCAAAGAUAUUUUUUAUUUAUAGAUUUUUUAAAUUUAUAGAUGAAUUUUUAUUUAUAAAUAAAAUAUUAUAAAAUAAUAAAUUUUUUGUGAUAAAAUAUGAAGAGGUAUAUUCUUAGAAUAAAAGUAAAAAUAUGUAAAGAUAAGAAAAUUAAAAUUGCUUGCCAAAAUGAACUUUUGGUUUGAAUUCUUAUAUUACCAAUCCAAUGUCUAAUCACAUGGACUUUUUGAUAUAAACAUACAAAUAACUAGCCUAAUCAAAAAUAUUCAAUUAAUAUAUGGAUACUUAUCUUAUUAAGCUACAUGAUGGCUUAGUAGGCUAUGGAAACUAAAUGAUAUUAUGACCAAUAAAUAGUAGCUGUAACUUGUCAACUAACAAAGUGGUGUCAACCAUCCAUUCUAUAUUAUAUCUAAUAAAAGUUAUAUGAUCUAUUAAUACUUCUAUUUAAUGACAUAUUAAACUAACUCAAUUUGAUGAUGUCCAUUAUUUCCUUGAAUUUAUAAUGUUUGUCACAAAUUAGUCCUUUAGUCAAAACAUCUGCAACCAUGUCUUAAGUCCUAUAAAAAACUAAGUUGAUGUUGCUACUUCCAAUCUUCUUACAAACAAACUAAUGUUGAAUUUCAACAUAUUUAGUAUGAGCAUAGAAUAUAGGGUUCUAAUAGCAAAUUAUUCUUACAUUACAAUCUUUCAUGCCAAAUCUUUUAAAGAUAUUUUCUACAAUUUUUUUUGAUUUAAGUAGAUUUUACAAAUCUUUCAGUUUUUCAUAAUGUGUAUAUCCAAAAUAUGUUGGAUUUCUUGUAAAUCCUUCAUUUCAAACCUCUCAGAUAAAUUUUUCUUUGUUUUUAAGGAAAAUUCUUUACUAUUAAACACAAGCAUUAAGUUAUUCAUAUAGACUGCAAUGAUGAUGAAGAAUCCAUCAAUUGUCUACAAUACAUAAAUACUAGGAUUGAUAUAGCUUCUUUUUAAACUUUAUGAGGCAAAAUAAUCAUCUAUCAUCUUGUAUCAUGUUCUAAGAGAUUUUUUGAGUCUAUAUAAAGCUUUAAUUAGUUUACACAUCAAUCAUUCUUCACCUUCUAAUAUAUAGUCUUUUAGUUGGUCUAUAUAUAUCUCUUCUUUAAGAUCUCUAUUCAAGAAUACUCUUUUGAUAUUUAUUUGAUGAACUUUCACAUCUUCAACUUCAACUAGUGCAAGAAGUAUACAUAUUAAGGUCAUUUUUGUCAUUGGAACAAAAGUCUCAUUGCAAUUAAUAUAUAUAUUUUUUGUGCAUAAACUUUUACAAUGAAUCUUGCUUUAUAGCACUUCUCUAAUCCAUUUAUAUUAUAUUCAAUUUUAAAAUCUAUUUGCAAACAAAUGAUUUUUUGUUUGCUGGUAAUAGUGUCAAAGUUCAAGUCUUGUUGUUAAUCAAACUUUGGUACUAUGAAUCCAUUGCUUCCUUUUACUUCUAAGCAUCAUCUUUUUUCAUAGAUUCAAUGAUAGUAGUUGAUUCUGUAGUGCUUAUGUAAAAAACAUGUGCCAUAUAUGCUGAAGAUAUGAAUGAUGUCAAAGAAAUCUAAGCCAAUGUUAAUUCAUUAGAUGCUUGCAUGUUGGCUUUAUAGAACCAUUUACAUUGAAAUGUAUCAAUUUCAAGAAUUUUGUUGCAUAAGUACCACUUUUUAUUAAAAAAAUAUCACAAUAUUAUUUUCUAUAAAUACACUUUUUAUAAAAUUUUAAUUUUGUGAUCUUACUUAUGUUUAGAUGAAUGAUCAUAUUACAUGUUUAUAGUUUCUUCAAGCCUAAAAUGAUAAAAUGACUAUAUUCUUGAUACCAAAGAUUAAGCUUGUUCAAAGUUUGUUUUAUCUUUAUAAUAAGGAAAAUACUUCUAUCUUCAUACAAAGAUCCUAAAAGCUUAUAUAAGCUAUUAUACCUAAUAUCUUUGAUGGUUUUAUUGUCUCAUUUCAUAAGACAUGUAUUAGUCUUGAAAUUGACUUUAUAACCUUCAUUUGUCAUUUUGCUAACAAAAAAAAAUUCUUAGCCAAUUAUUCAACAUAUGAGAUUUCAUGUAUAUCUUUUUCAACAUUUUUUGAAAAUUAGAAAAAGAUCUUACUCUUCUCUUUGAUUGAAAGUCUGAAAUCAUUGCUCAAAUAGAUUUUAGGGCCAUGUGAUAGAUUUUUGUAAUUUAAAAAUCAACUUUGAUUUUCUAUCAUGUGUUAAAAAGUACUAGAAUUGAUGUACCAUUUUUUGUUACUUUUGUCAUAGAUAAUGCAGCUAUAAAGACAAAUUCAUCUUCCUUUUGAUCUUUCUUGUCUAUUCUAUUAGCUUGCUUUUUUUGAAAAAUCUUCUUUAAUUUUUUUGACUUUAUGUCUUUUUCCUUGAUAUAACAUUCUUUUUCAUAGUGACCUUUUUUGCUAUAAUAUUUUUAUAUGGUAUCCUUUUUGUGAUCAUGUAAAGACCUUCUAUGAGUAUAAAUAUAAAAAAUGUGGCUUGGAUUUUUUUUUUACAGCCAAAAAGUAUACAUCAAAGGUUAAGUAAUUUUUUUUUUUAUUAAUUUCUUUCUUGUGCCAUGAUGCAUCCAACUUCUAAUUCUAAUUUCAAAUCUAAAUCUCUUCUCACUAAAAUGAUUAUAAUUUAUAUAAUUAUUAAUCUAAUUUAGGCAAAUUUUAGAUCAUUAAACUUAAUUUAAGUUAUAAUCUUUAAAUUGUCAAAGCAAAUAAAUAUUUUUUUAAAAAAUGAGAGCCAAACCAAAGAAAAAAAGUUGGCUGCUUAUUGCAACCAUUGUACUUAAAAUCGUCAUCUAUAAAUUAAUUUGAAUCUCCUUUGUCAUAUCUUUUCUUCUUAUAUGCUAAAAUUUAUUGAAAAAAUAAUAAAAAAUCUAGCUCCUUUCAAAUUCUUAAAUAAUAAGAAAGAAAAUACAAGAAAUAGUACAAAAAACUCCAGAUUAGUCUUGAAUCACACUAUUCAAAAAUUAUAGUGAUUGUCUUCUUACAAAUUCACAUAGAUCACCCUUGUUACAACUCUUAUUCUUGUAUGUUAGAUCUUAUUGAAAAGCUAACAAUAAGAUCUAUUUUCUUUCAAAAUUUAAAAAUAAAAACAUAAAAAUGUAAUAAAUGGCAUAGAAAAUCUCAAACUAAUCUUAAAUUUUGCCACCAAAAAACUCUAGCAAUUUUUCUCCUACAAAUUUUCAUAGAUUUCCUUCAUCACUACUUCUCUUCUUAAGUGUUAGAGAUUGUUGGAAAGCUUAUAAUAAGAUCUAUCUUCUUUCAAAAUUUCAAUAUGAAAAGAUGAAAAUUUAGUAAGUGGCAUCAAAAACCUUAAACCAAUCUUAAAACUUCAUACUCCAAAAUUCUAGCAAUUUACUCCUACACACUCCUAUCCAAGAAAAAAAAAAUUAUUAGAUGCCAAAAUCCUUAUUCUAAUCCUUUUCCAAUACUUGCCUUGAAUCUUUAUAGAGUCAAAUAUCUAUCUUAAAAGACUAUAUCUUCGAAGCUUGAAUAAUGUAUUGAAGCUAAUGUUCUCCUAUUCUAAAUCUUAUUUAAAAUUUUAGAUAUAUUAAUAUUAUAUUCCUUCUUUCUUAUAAAUAAAGUUAGUUAUUCUUUAAAUAUCUUUAAUGCACUUAAAUUAAGUGUAGCAUGAUAUUCAUCUCUUUCAAACCAAUAUAUAUUCUAAUAUGUGCCAAAGAAUUAGAUUAUAAUACUUUCAUCAUUAAAAUCAAAGUCAUUGUGAACCAUAUCACUUUUGAACUAUUGAUCAAAAUAUUGAGAUUCAAAAGCCUCUAAAUCCUCCAUAUAAUUCAUCCCAUCUUAUCGUUUGAAGACUUCAAUUGACUAUUUUGCAAUCUUAGUCUUCAAUGGUAUCCCAUCUAACUUUCAAAGAGAAUAAGUUGCAUUAUCAUAUACUUCAACCACCAUAGAGGGUCCAAAUCAAUGCCAUAUAAACUUACAAAGAAUAGAAUAUUAGUGCAUCAAAUUACUAUCAGAAAUUAAAAUCCAAUUAUUAUCUUUAAUUUGCUUAAGCCUCAAUUAAUGAAUUUUAUCAAACCUCUCUUUAUUGUUCAACCUUGCCACCUUAAGUCUCUCCAUAGCAACUUGAUGAUCCUCAAGCAAUUCCUUCAAUUGAAAAAUUUAAAGCUCCAACAAUCUUUCCAUCUCAAUGCUAUCUUUUUAAGAUAAAAAUAAUUAAAAAAGAAUAGACUCUUCUAUAGGCAAUAAAGGCUUUUACUUCAAUAUCAAUUCCAUUGACAUAUAACCAAUAAAUAUGCUAUAAGUAGUCAUAUUUGCCUAUAAAAUAAAUAACAAAAGUCUAAACUACAACCUUGUUUGAUCCUUACGUGUCUUGACUAAAGUUUAAAUAAUUGAGAGAUGUCAUCUAUCACUCUUAUUAUUGGCUUUGGAGUUAUAGAAGGUGGUCAACUUUAAUUUUAUUCUAUGUCUUAUGAAAAAAUCAUGUGCUUCUAUUAUAUAAAGCUUACUUUGAUUUGCUCUGAUUCUUUCAAUGAUUCUAUAGCAAUAUAUAAUAUCCUCCAAAAUAAAUCAAUAUAUUAUCUCUAUAGACUUUGACAUCAAUUUCCUUCUUUUUAUAUAAUUGAAAGUUCAUCUUUUGCCAAAAUUAAGUACUUUGUGCCUCAAAGCUUCAUUUAUAUAAUAACUAAAUCAAUCAUCUAUUAAAAAUAAAUAGUAAGUAGAUAGGUAGGACAUAAAACAUCUUUAUACCUCAUCUUGGAUUACAAUUGGUACUCUAUACAAGAACUUAUAAACUCCUCUACAUCCUUGUAUAAAGUCCUUCUACCAAUAGCACUUUUUGAUCUUGAUGUACAUAGCUCAAACACUUCUAUAUCCAAUAUGAAAGUAAAUUUUAUUCCUCAAUCCAAAUUAUAAGAUGGCCUCAAUUAAGAGUUGCUUAUAAUUGAUCAUGUAAAGUGAAAAUAAAAAAUAAUAAGAAUGAAAGAAGAAAAAACACAAAACAAAUGAAAUAAAUGAAAUCAAGCAAUUAUAUAAUUCAUAUCUUAAUCACAAUAUAUUCAUUAAGUUUUUAUUUAAUAAAAAGUAAAAAAUUAAAAAAAUAUUUUUAAAAAGAUAUUUUUUUUAUCUUUUAAAUGAUAUAAGAAAUAUGUAAAUCUAAAUUACUAUGAAUAAAUUAUAUAAGUUUAAAAAUAAUAAGUAAAUAAAUAAAAAAUUAAAUAAAAAUAUUUUACCUCAAAUAUAACUUAUUCAUAGAUUAAGAAUCUAAACCUCACUAAUACUUAUAUGUAAUAGAUAUAGGUAUUUAAAAGAAGUCACAAAGCCUUAGACUUAUUUUCUUAACUACCUUUAUGGUGCUACAACCCAUUUAGGACUUGUGCACCUCUUUUCUUAUAAGGACUACAUUAGUUGCUACUCCUCCUAUUUUCUAUUAGUAGAUCUAAUUUUUUUAUAUUUUUGACUUCACCAUGGUGUUUAAAAAUAUCCAAAUAGAAAAAUAGCCUAGUGUGGCCUUUAAAUCUUACUCCAUUUCUUCAUAAUGGCUCCCAAAGUAGUAAAACUAAUUUUUACUAAAGUCUUAAAUAUUACUCUAAAAAUUCUAAAUAAAUUUUAAAACUUCUUAUAAUAGUUUUAUAAUAUUAAUAUCAAUUUAAGAUUAUAAUUUCUUAUUUUUAAUUUUUUUAUAAUAAUAAAAUUAAUUUAAAUCUAUUAUAAAUCUUACUUUCCAUAUAAAUAAUUAAAAGAUAUGAAAUUCUUUUUCAUGCUUCUUCUAUCUAUUAACUAAUAUUUACAGUUUUUUAAUAAGUAAUACUUAUAGAUAGAAGGCCAAUAUAAAUUUUGAUCUUAACAAAUAAUCUUUAAUACUCAAUAAUAAGUAAAGAUACUAAAUUAACUAAGAUAAUUGUCUCCAAGACUUACUAAGACUCUAUUCUUACAACUAACAUUCUAAUUUUUUAUUUGCCUAAAGAUUUAUAUAUUAUUAACCAUAUAUUAUUUUUUAAGUAUUCUAAAUAUAUCUUUUUGUCUUAAAAUAACUAAUGAGUUGAUUUGAUGAUUUAUGUCUAAUCCACAAUGUAUUAAGAAACUCACUUAAUACCUUGUAUUUGAUCUUCAAAUCAUCCACUACUCUCAAUGAGACACCAUCUCUCUUCUUUGGUCUCUUCCACAAAAACCCAUUACGUAAAAGAUAAUUAUAAGAUUGGUGCCUAAUAUCCUUAAAGAUCUUAUUUAGUCAAUCUUCUUGCGGCUUCAUUAUGUUUAAAUACAAGCCAAUGUUUUUCAAGCUUCCUUCAUUUAAAUCAAUUCUAAAAGAUAGAAUCUCAUCACUUUGGUCUCUUCCAAUUUUAGAAAAUUCAAAGCCUUACAUCAAGUCUCCAUUUUCUUCUUAUGCAAGCAUUUCUUCUCCCUUAAGUACCUAGUUUUAAAUGACAUAUUUGCAAUCAAGUUUUUUUUGUCCAUGAUAUGUAUCAAAAUAAGAUUUAGAGACUUAAUAAAAGCAAUCUAUCUAAGCAUAGCAAUAUCUGGUGUAAUAAAAUUGAAAACCAUUCUAAGCAAAGACAAGAAAUUCAUCUCUAAUAUGACAUGAAUAUCUAUUAAGUAAUUUCUUUCAGCCUUCAAGUGCACCCUCAAAACCCUCUUUUCACUUGUAGAUAAGCUUGUUUCCUCUCAUUGAGAGUCCUUGCUCUAAACCUAAUUACAAAUCGGUUACUUUUCUUAUCAUCUUCUUCAAUAGCCCAUCCAAUGACUAUAGAACUUGUGUCAAUUGUCACUAUUAUUGAUCUUCUAUAAUUAUAGUCCACUUAUUUUAAUAUUAGUGAUAAUUUCAAAACCAUCUUUAAUUGAUUUAUAGCCAAUUCUUGCUCUUCAUCUUAUACAAACUUCUUUUUUUUUCAAUAAUCAAUACAAAGGCUCUAUAAUAUGAAUAUAAUGAAGAAUCUAUAUAUGAUAAAAUAUAUAAAUAUUUAAAAAUCUUCUUACAUUAGUAAUGCUUAUAUAUGCCUUCAUCCUUGUUGUGGUGUCUAUCUUAUUUAGAUUUGAUUUUCUUCUAUAGCUUCUAUAUAAAUUUUCAACUACCAUAAUUUGUUUAAAUCUAAAUGUAGACUUUUUAAGAAAUAAAUUAAGAUUUAUCUCUUCAAAUUUCUUCAAAAUAAUUUUUAUAUAUUUAAUGUAUACUUUUAUAAAUGUAUGGCAUCUAUCUUCUCUCAAAGUCAAAUUCUUAGCUUCUUCCUUGUAAUCCUUCAUUGAAACAUCAUCUAAAAAUGGUAUGAUUUUUUUCAUUAUAAACUCUCUUAAAAUUUGAUUCAUUACAUUUUGCAUAUGAGCUACCAAAUUAGUUGCAUCUUGUGACAAAGUACAUAUGCAUACUAGAUUCAAAAAAAUCUUUAUAGUAGUUAAGUUCCUACUCUCUUAUAUUAAUUAGAAUUGAUUAUAAUCCAAGUAUAAAUCUUGGCUAGAAUAAAUAAUAUGCAUUGUAGAAGCUUCUACUACUUUAUCUACCACAAGUCUUAACCUCAUAUUCUUAAUAGUCACCUUAUUGGCAAGUUGUAUGUCUUGAAUGAAUCUAAACACCUAGACUUUUUUGGCAAGGUGAACCAUCAAUCAAAAUAAGCUACAAUAGAUGGCUCAAAGAUAUCUACUUUAACCUUUUCUUUCAAAAAAUCUAUCAACUUAAGAAAUAAAGCCUUGAGCAUCAAAAUAGGUUUCAAGUUCCAAGGCACAUAUUAAAUGGUGAAAAUAACCAUAGGUGCUACUAUGCUAGGAUCUACACAACCAAUUUCUUUAGGUACAAAAGUAAAAACCUUACUAUGCUUAGAAAACAACUCUAGAAACUUCUCUCUUUCUUGGUUGAUAAAAAAAUCACCUCUUCCAAUCUUUAACUUGUCCAAAGAUUCAUUCAUAAACUUGUGAUUAAUCUUUCUUGAUUCCCUUAAUCUUGGCUCUAUGGUAGUUUGUUUGAUAUGCUCUUUGAUAUCUUGAGGUAAUUUGAUUGCUACAAGCUUCACCUUCUUGGCUACAAUUUUAUACUUAGUAUGUACCAUAGCUUCUUGUAGUAUCAUAUGACUAUGAACCACCUCAAGCCUCAUUGAAAUUCCAAAUUUUUUUCAUAUAUUUGCCUUAAAUAAAGUUCUAUACCAACAUUAACUCUACCUCCAUCCAUAUGCAAAUCCAAUUGUGAUCUAAAAUAAACCUCCAUUAGUUUAAAGUUUAUUUUAAUUUAUAAUAAUUAAAUUAAUUAUUUAAUUCUUAGAAAUUAUAGUUCUUAUUGAAUUUUUAAUCAAUUCAUUUUUAAUUCCUUAAAUCAUCCAAAGGAGAGUUAAAAUAACCUCUAUUACUUGGAUAAUUAUCUUAGUUCACCACAAUUGUAUUAACUAUCAAAAUUCACAAGUUAUAACUUUUAUUUAAAUUCUAAUUAAUCAUGCUUUAAUCUUCUUUAACAUUCAAGUAAUUAAGCUCAACUUCUAUUAGUAAUUCAUAUUUAUAUUAAUAACUAUUUGACAAAAUACAUAAUUAAAAAAUCUUUUUUUAACUCUGAAUUUAAUUCAAUCAAUUAAAUAAUUUUUUUUGUUGUUUUUUAUUUUUUUUUAUUUUUAAAAUUUCAUCUAUUAACAAAAGAUCAUUCAAGUAUAAUUUAUCAUCCUUGAAUAAUUUAUCAUCUAUCUUAGAAUUUCUUCCUUGAUUAAAUUUAUCAUCUAAUAUGCAAUACUUCAUAUCAAACCUUAAUUGAGUGCUUCUUUAAUCUGAAUCUUUUUAAAAACUUGAAUUUAUCUUCUAAAUUCAAUGCUGACAAGUCAAUGUUACAACAACUUUAGUGUGAUUAUUUGCCUUGGUAGCAAGGAAUGCCAUUUAGUCACUCCUACUGCCAAGACAAGUAUUUUGGAAGCUUUUUUAUAUUAAUUAGUGGCUAUUAAAAAACAAGAAAAGUCCUUAAUUUUAUUGGAUAUCACUUGUUAGUAUCUCAAUGUUCCUAUUUUCAUAGUAUUUUGAUCCUUUGCUACUCUAUUCUUUUUGAAAUUAUUAGAUUCUUUUAUCAUACAAAAAGUUGCUAAUAAAGUUCUAGUCUCAAUUUUAAAUGUUCCACCAACCUUUUUUUUUUUUAUUAAUUCCUUACAAAAUUUACUAAAAGAUAUUAUACUUUCAUUUCAAUUGUCGCUUAUCUUGAAUCAAAUUAUAGUCUACUAGACUAUGUAUUAUAAAUGAAUUCAUAUAAGUAAAUUGUGCAAAGAUGCUUAAUAAUUCAAUCAAUCUAGAAAUUAAACUAUAAUUGUAAUAGGGCAUGGAUAAGAUAUUUGUAUUGUUGAUGCAUAGAAAUAAGUAGUUGGAGCCAUUUUUGAGAAUUUUUUAGAAGUUUUUAGAAUUAAAGCUAGGUUGGUGGUCUAUAUAGGACCUAUUAUGGUACAUUCUAAAAAGACUUAAAGAGGUUAUCUAGAUAGAACCUAUCUCUAAAAUCAUCUAAAAAGGUGAUUAUUUAAGUAGGAUCUACUUUUAAAACCUUCUAAAAAGGAUAAUUAUCUUAGUAGAAUCUACCAUUAAGAAUAUUCUAAAAUAUUUUAAGAUAGUUAGACAAAGUAUAAAUAGGAGUGGCCAAUGCCAUUUGGAUAUUUAGUUAGGUAUAGUUUUGGUUCUUUUCUCUUAAGAAAGUUUGGUUUGUAUUUUUUUGUUCUAUUAUAUUCUCUUUUACUUUAUUUUACCUUUCAUGUUCAAUUUUAUUUAGUUCUAUUCAAUUUUAUUUUAGUCUAUUCUAUCCUACGUUGUAUUUUGAUAUAUAUUGCUAUAGAUUAGAGGGAUUUUAGAUCUUAGAAAAAAAUCAAUCCCAUUUCAACAAUACUUAAUUAUUAUGUGAGCAUAGUUUUUUUAAUUCUAAAAAAUACCAUUGAAUCUUAUUUUUUUUUUAAUUUUUAAAAUUUUUUUUUAAAUUUUUUUUAUCGCCAAACUUAUUUAAAAUACUCUAGUUUGAGGUCAUGACUUGAAACUCAAUGGAAUAUCAAUUUUUGGAAUUUCUUAAUACUAAAUGAUUUAUCUUUUUCAACUUCUUCUAUAUAAAUUGAUUCCUAGCCAAAAGAUGGAACCAAACAUAUGUUAUGCGUCAAUCAAAUAUAAAGUAAUUUCUUUAAUAAGAGUGAUCAACUGAAACAUUGCUUUGUUAUUAAUCUCUAGAUUGAAUCUAAAGAGUCAAAUAUCAUCAAAUUUACUAUUAGAUUGUUGUUAAUUGGACUUUGUAGUAUUGUUGCCAAAUCCAUGCUAUUGGUUAAAUUUGAAGGAGUAAUUACCUUCUACUUCAAUACUAAAUUCGAAACUUACUAGAGACAAAAUAUUUAAAUUGAAUUGCCUCCAAACAGCUUAGCUCUACUUAGUAAUUGAUUGCUCACCUACUCAACAACAACAGAGAAAGAAGGUAGACAAGCUACUGCUUAAUUGCUCCACUUUGACCACCAUAUACUAAUUAUAAAAAAAAUACCACAACAUAAAGUUACUAUAUAAUAGUAAAAAGAUGAAGAGUGACACACUUACUACACUACAACAAGUGUAGGGAAAAAGAAUAAAAAUAAAAUGACAAAGCCUUGUAGGGCUUCAUCCUUUGCAACAACUAUAUAUAUAAGAAAAAAACAAAAAAAACAUAGAAGUGAUGCACCACAUUACUUCCAUAAUAGAAAAGAGAACAAAAUCCAAUUCUAGAGUGCCGAAGCUUGUGAACCAUAAAGAGAAUAAAAAUAAAAGACAAGAGACCAUAGCACCACUUUAAUCAUUGCAACACAAAAGAAUACACAAAAAUUGAAAAUGCCAUAAGACAACAACAAUUCGAUCUUAGCCACAAUAUACUAAAAAAAAACCAUUGAAGACAAAAAAUAAAAAUAGCCACAGAGAUUCUUUUUUGUGACAAAAAAAAUAAUUUUUUUCUACAAUAACAUACAAAAUGUACUCACAACUUGAAAUUACAGCAUUUUUUUUUUUUUUUUUUUUUUUUUUUUUAAAUCUCAUAUUUCUUCACCUAAUCCUGAUAUAUAUAUGACCUAAGUCUCCAAUCUUUUGAAAUCUCAAAUCCUUCAAAGUUGUCAAAUCCAAAAAUCUACAUUCAAAGCUAUGUAUAUUGAAGAGUGUAUAAGUAAAAGAGUCACUUCUAUCCUUAUACCUCCAUGCUAUAGAGAUACUCUUUAGAAAUUUGAAAAUUCUUCAUUGGUCCUCAAAAGAGCUUCUAUCAAUUGGUCUUUAUUUUAUCCAUGAUCUAAUCUUAUAGUGAAGAAUUGCAUUAACUUUUUUCUAUUACAGUUCCUAAUCUUUGCAUAAUAAGAACCAUCAUUUAAAACCUUGGUUUCUAUCCUCGUAGCCAUGAUAUAAAGUUGUUCUAAAAUCUUAAGGUAAGUAGCAGAGUUAUGCAUAUAUUUUUUUUGCUCCAUCUCCAUAUCUCCAAUCCUUGUCUUAAUUCUUGGAUAUGCUUUAUAUAAAUCAUUUUGCUCAGUGUUGGCAGCCCUCAAUAUCCAUUUAUAAUUAAUAUCAAUGGACCACUUAUUCAUCUUGUAAUUCUUUUUUGAUAUUAUGUUGAUCUAUGAUCUAUGAUCAAUAAGUGCUAAGGUAUAUUUUUUCAGGUCUUUUAAUCUCAUUUGAACAUUGUUGAUAACCUUAGUUCAAACAAGAUGUGGAAAUUAAGCAUUCAUCUUCUCACCCUCAAACCUGUCAUAGAAAGUAAAAUUAGAUACAUUUACUUCACUUAUAUUUAUAUCAUGCUCCACCUCUUUGCUUCUUCUUGAUCUUCUUUGAUGUUUGCUUCUAUCAUAGCCUUGAGUAGUUAUUUUUUUAUUUUUUUAUUUUUUUUUAUUUUCUUUUAUUUAUUUUUUUAUUUUUCAAAUAGCAUCCUCUCAAAAUUAGGUACAUAAAGUUAGAAGAAGACUCAUCCUAUGUCUUGGUUUUCUUUUCUAUUUAAAUAAGAGCCUAAUGCCUUUACUAUAAUUGCCUCUACUAUCAUUUUUCUCUUCUUGUUGACAUCAAUGAUAAGCUCAUAGAAGUCUUUCUUUGCAAUGUCAAGUACUUCUUUUAAAAUAAACUCAAUUUUUAUAUCAAAAAUCUUUUUCUUUAAAAUUUCUUUUAUAUUAAUAGAGCUUUCAAUAUCCAAUUGAAGCUUAUAAGAAAGGCCCUUAUCUUUUGGCUUGUUUGAGUUUUCUUUCUCUUUGUCUUUUGUUCUACUGUUUGAAGUCCAACUUAACUUCUUCGUUGAGAUGAAGGCAAUAUUUGAGCUUAUAGAUAAAAAGACCCUUUUCUUUCUUGAGUAGAUUCUUUAAUCUUUAGUAGCCUCAUCUUAUUGAAGAAUUCUAGUAUAUCUUCUUGUUAGAACUUAGUCUUCUUUUCUUCCACAAUAGCAUCUUGAUCCUCCAAAUCCUUAUUAUUUUUCUUAGAUUGGAGUAGAUGUCACCAGAUUCAAUAAAAUGAUUGACAUCAUAUGUAAUAGAACUUCAUGCUUCAAAGUCGUUCUUCUUGCUUUCACCGACCACUACUUGGUCACCAAUAGCACUACAUAUUCUACUCUCUUAAUAAUUAUUUAAAUCUUCUUCAAUGGACUUAUGAAUUAAAAAUAAUAAAAACAUAUCUUCUAAUGCUUUAUCAAUUGCUUACAAAAAGAGCUUGGUCUUCAUAAUACUUAAUAAAAGUCUCUUUAAAGAUGAAAGUAAAGAAAAUUUUCUCUCAAAUUUCCUAAGUAAUUUGCUUGGGGCCAUAGACCUCCUUAGUUGUUACUCAAUCCACUCCAAAAAUAAAUUUUUAGUGAUUCUAUCAAAAUCUUCAUCAUAUAAUUUAUCCUUGAACCUCCCUUCAAAGUCAAUCUAAAUCUUUAAAUCAUCUUUAUGUAAAUUCUUCAUCCUCAUUCUAAUUUCAAGAAUGCAUGCUAAUUCAAAAUUAGGAAUAUAGUGAGACUUAGGAACUUAAUAUACCUCCAUCUCUCUUAUAUAUGUGCACAAAAACUUAGUAAUGUUGCUUCCAUCAAACCUCCUCUGGUUGUUAACCAUGCCUUAUAAUGCUUUCAUCAUCUUUUUUUUUAUUUUCUUGUACCUUUUUUUAUCUCUAUAUGAACAUGUCAAAGCCAAGAAUAAAUCAUUAGCACUUGCUACCUUAGUGACACUUAUAUUGGCUCCUCUAAAAUCAUCCAUCAUCUAUAAAUAUAAAAAAUUUCUUACUUCUCCUUUUAAACUCUUAAAUUCUUUUUCAUGCUCUAAGCUUGUACCUCAGCUCUAAAAAUCCAUUGUGCUCUACUUAUACUCUAAAUUGCCUCAAGGAUGCUCUCAAUAGAAAUACCAAAUUUAUAUUUAAAAAACAAGCCUUUUUAGGAGAACAUAAAAUCUUUGAUUGCAAGUAGAUUAUAAGAAGCACAAUAUUAUCCAAACAAAUUUAAAUAAAAAAUAAUAGUCCAAAGGCUAAAUACAAAUUUUAUAUUAAUUUCUUUCUCGUAUUAAGAGGCAUCUAACCUCCAACUCUAAUCUCAAACCUAAGCCUCUCCUUACUAAAAUACCUAUAACUCAUAGAUUAAAUAUCUAAUUUAAUCUAAGAAAAUUUUGGCUCAUUGAACUUAGGUUAAGUUAUAAACUUCAAAUUUUUAAAGUUAAUAAAUAAUUUUUUUUAAAAUGAGAGGAAAACUAAAGAAAAAAAUUUGGCCGCUUGUUGUAGCCACUAUCUUCAAAAUCCCUGUCUAUAAAUUAGCUUGAAUCUUCUUUGUCACAUCUCUUCUUCUUGUAUACUAAUUUUUUUUGAAAAACUAACAAAAAAAAUUCAACUUCUUUUAAAAUAUUAAAUCAAUAAAAUAAAAAAAUAAAAAAAUAUAAGAGAAUCUUAAAUUUUUUUUAUAUAAUAUUGUCCAAAAACUCUAAUAUCUCCUUUUAUACAAACUUACAUGGAUCUUCCUUGUCACAACUUUUCUUAUUGCAUGCUAAAGCUUGUUCAAAAGCUGACAAUAAGAUCCACUUUUCUUUAAAAUUUCAAAACAAAAAGAUAAAAAUGCAAUAAAUGGCAUAAAAUACUCCAAACCAAUCAUGAAUCAUGUAACUCAAAAACUCCAAUGAUCCUUCUUUUACAAAUUUACAUGGAUCUUCUUUAUCAUAGCUACUCUUCUUGCAUACUAGAACUUAUUGGAAAGCUAACAAUAAGCUUAGUUUCUUUCAAAAUUUCAAUAUAAAAAGUUAAAAAUUUUGUAAGUGACAUCAAAAAUUCCAAAUCAGUCUUGAAACUUUUUUCCUCCAAAAUUCUAAUGACUCCCUCCUACACUCCUAUCCAUAAAAAAAGAAAAAAAAUUCUACUUGAUGCUAAAAAUUUUAUUUUAAUUUUCUUCCAAUACCUGCCUUGAAUGAUUAUAGAGUCAAAUAUCUAUCUUAAAAGACAAUAUUCUAAAAGCUUGAAUGAUCAAUUUAAGCUAAUAAUCUCUAUUUUAAAUUCUAUUAUAAUUUAUAAAUAUAUUAACAUUAUAUUCUUUCUCUCUUAUAAGUAAAAUUAAUUAUCUUUUUAUUAUUUUUAAUAUACUUAAAUUAAGUGCAUCACAACUCUGCAGUCUAAAACUUGUGAAUUAAGUUCAAUAAGCUUGACAUAUUUUUAAUCUCAUACAUUUCUUUCAAAGUAUUCUAUGUAGUCUCUACACUUAUUGUUUUGCUUUUUUUCAUGAAUUUUGAACCAUAAAGAUGUUGACAAAUUGCAAAUAAUGUCUGCUUGUCUAUAUCUUUCUAUAUUUUUAACUCCAUUAGAUCUACAAGUGACCUAUUGGAUUUCUUAUAUUUUUCUUAUAUAAUAUUUUUUUAAUUCCUUAUUGAUUAAAAUAUAUCUAAUUCUAUCCUCCCAAAGGUGCCAAUUAUUCUUGAUAAAUUUUUCUAUGAGAUGAUACUGUCAAGGACAUGAAUCUCAAAGAAAAAAAAUUCUUAGUACAUUCUUGUGUCACUAAAGAGAAUAAAAAAGUCACUCAAAAGGUGAUGUAAUAUUAAACUAGAAUAGCUAUUGCUAAAAACAAGAAGAUUAGAAGGGCUUGAAGCAAGAUUAAAGACUAGAAAGGCAUUGACAAGAGUGAAGAAGGCUUCACUCUUGCCUCUAUAUAUACUCUCUAAUUAAGAGCUAUGUGGCAAUAUUCUAUAGGACCUCUAACAUGUGUUGACUUUGCUAGCCACAUGUCUUAACUUGCAAGGCAAGUUAUCAAUGUAUGUGCUACAUAAUUAGCUUAUUUUAUAAGCUAUUAUACAAAGUUAACUUGUUCUAUAAGCUACCAACAUGUAGUUAAUUUUUUGAUCAAGUUUCUAACUUACAAAUACAUCUAAAGUCAAAACCACAUAUGUAAAGCUUUUAGGAAGCUAUUCUAAAAGACUUUAUGAAAUUAAUCUAUAUUUAUCUAUUUCUAGUUAAUCAUAUAAAUAAUUAUUGGAAUAAAUAUAUGUAUGUUUGUGAUAUUUCCUCCCGGUCUAAGAACGAGUUCCAUGAGGAGCAGUCUUCAUAUAUUGAAAAAGUUCAAAAUGCAACAAAUUAUAUUUGUCACAUACUCUAAUCUUUGCUUUCUUUGAAGAUGGUUGAUAGGCCCUCUUAGGCAUCAAUAGUGUCCUAUAUCAAGGCAAAAAGACCACCUUGUUAUUUGGUCGUUGUUCAGGCCUUUGUAACUUCCUUCAAAUAAAACAUUUGGAACACCGUCAAUAAUUGUUCUUACUUCUAAUAAAAUCACCAAACAUUGGAAGUCUCUUCUAAGGUCGUGAUAUCAAACAUGUUAUAUCUCACCAUGUAUUUGAGAAAAGAUAUGUCAUUCUUCAUGAUCUUCAUCUCGAUUUUUUCAACUUGAAGAUUGUGAUAAUUGCAAUGUCUCAUGUGAUAAGUCUGCAAAUAAAAGCUCUUAAGUUGAAUCUGCUAGUUGUUGGUUUUCUAUCUCCCAAGUAUCACAAAUACACAAAAGCUACAAAGAAAGAUAAAAGGUAGAGUAUUAUCUUUUUUUGAUCUUAUUUCUUUUAAAGUAAAGAUUUACUAUUCUUCAUCUUCAUUUUGAUAGAUGUCGUUGAUGAAAAGCUUAUUCUUUCUUUGUUGUAUUUAUAAGAUUCUUUGAUGGUUCCCAUGUACAUUCAUUAAAAUCAUAUCCAUGCCAAUCAACAAGAUAUUCCAACUUAGUUCAAUACUGCCUUGAAUCUAAGACUUUUUUCACUUCAAACUCUUGAUUAUUAUCUACUUCUAUAGAAAGAUGUGGCAAUUAUCAUCUUCUCAAGAUAUACACUAUCUUAUACGACUAAAAAAGGGACAUGUGAAAUACAUGGUGGAUCUUCAUAGAUCCUGGUAGAUGUAAUCGAUAUCAAUAUAAUUAAUUUGUUCACAAAUAGAAAAAGGUCCCAGCCUACGAUAGUCCAAUUUAUUACAAGCAUGAGUAGUCUUGAUAUUGCGAUGAAAUAACCAUACCAUGCCACCUAUAUUGAAUUGUGGCUGCUCUUUGCAAUAGGCAUCUACGUUGGUAUUUUGAUGUCUUUGAGCUUCUUUUAAUUAUAUCUUCAUUGUUGCAUAUAGCUCUGACAAAUGAUUUGUUAAAUCUUUUGUUGCAGGAUUAUCAACUUUUGAAAAGUCAAAACUAUCAAAACUGAGAUGAUAAUCAUAAUUGGCAAAGAAAGGUAUUUGUUGAGUAGAAGAAUGUAAGGAAUUAUUCUAUGCAAACUCUAUCAAUGGCAAAAGAGUUGUCCAAUCAUCUUGAUGAUAGUUGAUGGUACAUUUCAAAUAUUGCUCCAAAACUUGAUUCAUCCAUUCCAUUUGCCUAUCAAUUUGAGGAUGAAAAGCCAAUGAAUUCUUUAUAUCCACCUUUAGAAUCUUGAAUAGGAUUUUUUAGAAUCAUGAUACAAAUUGAAUCCUCAUAUCUAAUAUAAUAUCUUUUGACAAUCCAUGAUAGCGAUAGAUAUUGUCAAUAAAAAGCUUAGGUGUUUCUUCACCUAAAAUAGAUUUUAUAUAUAGUAUAAAAUGUGUCAUUUUGAUGAAGCAAUCUAUAAUUAUGAAUAUAGAAUCAUAUGAACAUGAGAUUGAAAGAUUUGUGUUAAAAUCCAUAGAAACGGAAGACCAUAAUUGUUCCAAAAUUGGUAAUGGUUGAAAAAGUCCAUAAGGUCAAUGGUGAGGAAUUUUGGAUCUUAAACAAGUAUUGCAUGUUUGUACAAAGUCUUUGACUGCCUUCAACAUUUAAAGCCAUUAAAAAUCUCUUGAUAUUAGCUCCAAAGUCUUGUUGUAUCCAAAAUAUCUAACUGCUAGAAAAUCAUGACAAGCUUAAAGGAUACGUAAUUGUACCUUGCCUUUUGGAAUAUAUAGACAAUCUUUAAAAUAUUGUAAAUUAUUUUUGAAUUAAAAAUUUGAAGUAUCAUAGGAUUUAGAAGAAGUAUUCUUGAUAUCAUGAACAAGAGGAUUAGAGGGCAUACUUGAUUGAAUUUGCUUGACAAAGAUUGAAUCAAUAAUCAAUAUUAAUUUUAUUGCUUGAAGAUGAAAAUGCUCGAACUUCAAGAAAAUUAUUCUUUAUUGAUCAAAAGAUGCAACUCCUUCUUUUGAUGUAAGGUAAAAACGUCUAUAAAGGGCAUCUAAUAGAUCUUGUUAUUUUUUGGAUCAAUAAGAGAUCUUGAAAUUGAAUCUGAAUAAAGACAUUAUGAAAUUAACUAGUAGUAUAAGAACUCAAAUCAAAAGCUCAUUUUAAAAAGCUAUUCUAGAAGAAUUUAUGAAAUUAAUCUAUAUUUAUCUACUAACUAAUUAUAUAAGUGAUUAUUGGAAUAAAUAUAUAUAUCCAUGAUAGAUAUUCUAUUAUUAUGAUAUAAUAAAUAUACUAAAAAUAAAAUAAAUGAUAGUACUAAGAAAAAAAUUAGAAGAGGUAAAAUUAGGAUCAAAAUAAGGCUCAAUAUCUUUUUAUAUAGCCUUUUAUUUGAUAAUUAAUAGAAAUUCUAAGUAUUUUCUAUAAUUAUGGUGCCAUCAAUACUUUCAAAAAAAUUCAAGUUAAAAUUUUUAAAAUUGAUUAAGACAUAUCAAUUUUAACAAAUAUAUAUCUAAUUUAAAUCAAAAAACUUAACUUGCAAAUCUUCUUAGAGUCCUUAGACUUGUUGGUCUCCAUAGAGUUCCUAAAUUCCUUCAAGCUAAAUGUUUGAAGUCUCAAUCUUCAUUUCAAAACUCUUAAUUGGCCAAUUUAACUCCCUAUUCUUGAAAAGAUGAUUUCAACUAUGCAUUCUUGGCAACCUAUUCUAAUAAGAUAAUAUCAACUAUCCUUUCUCAAUAGUUGAUAAAGAUUGUGUAUUUCUAAUAGCCCAUUCUUGAUUGCAUGUUUUUUAUUGCUUUGAAGUUCCAUAUAGACUGAGGCCUAUGUUUAUAGAGGUUGUAGAGUAUGGAUAGAGUUUCUUAAAGCUCCAACAUCCUUUUCUUGAUCUUUUUUAUUUCUUAUGUUGCUUCUAAUAAGAACUACAGAAAGUAAAUUAAACUUCCUCAGAGAUGAUCAAAAGACCACGUUCUACAAAACAACUUCUUAUAUAUAUUCAAUCUUUAAAGAACAAUUCAAAUACACCAAUCUUUGAUACCAUGUAGUAAAAUAUGAGGAAGAAAUAUAUUGUUAGAAUAGAAGUACAAAUAUGUGAAGAUAGGAGAACUAAAAUUGCUUGCCAAAAUGAACUUUUGAUUUGAGUUCUUAUACUACUAGUUCAAUGUCUAAUCACAUGGACUUUCUAGUAUAAAUAUGCAAACAACUAGUUUAGUUAAUAAUAUCCAAUUAAUAUGUGGAUACUUCUCUUAUUAUGCUAAAUGAUGGCUUGAUAGGCUAUGGUAACUUAAUAAUAUUACCACCAACAAAUGGUAGCUACAACUUGUUAAUUGACAAAGUGGUGUCAAUUGUCUAUUCUACAUUAUAUCUAAUAAGAAUAAUACAUUCUAUUAGUAUUUUCUUCAAUAAAUAAUAACUUCUAAGAAUUAAUUAAUUUUUUAUAAAUAAUCUUAUUUAUUUAUUUAUUUAUUUAUUUUUAUAAUAAUUAAGUUAAAUUAAAGAAAUUAAUGGAUAUUUUGAAGGACUUAUGGUAUAAUUAUAAGUAAUUAUAAUACUUAAAUUAAUAUAAUUAUUUAUAAGAAUUUCUAAAACAUCAUUAAAAUAAUAUUAUUUAAGACAUAAAGAUAUCUAAAAUGAUUCAAUUAUCUAUUAUCUAUGACUAAUCAAAGUGCAUAAUUUUUAAAGAAUAAUAAAAAAUCAAGAUUUACAUAGUGACUUCUCUAUUGAACAAACUUUACUAAUAUAAUGUUUUUUUUUGAAGCAAAUCAAUAUUAUAGGCAACCUAUAAACUUAUAUCUAUCAAGCAAAGAAUUUCUUAAGCUAAGAAAGUACAAGUAAUUUUUAUACAAACAAUACUUAUUUCAAAAGUAGCACAAAUAAAAAAGUUAAAAAAAUAAUUUAUAUAUAUAUAUAUAUAUAUAUAUAUAUGAGAUACAAAGAAAUUGGCAACGAUACAAAUGUAAGAUCUAAAGAAAUUAAAAGUAGUGUAAAUUUGAAAUCUAAGAUAAUUAAAAGUAACUUAGAUUUAAAAAUUGCUAUAAAUCUAAAAUAUAAUAUAAUUAUUACUAUUUUAAUAUAGGACUUAUUAUAAAUACAUUAAAAAAAUCAAAAGCUCUUCAAGUAAUUCAAAGUAUUACUCAAAUCCUUAGCAAAGUCAUUUAUAAAAUGCAUGCACUCAUUAUACACCUCAAUCUCAAAAAGUAGUAAAAUAUAGCUCCAAAAUAAGGAAACUUUGUGUAAAUAAGAAGACUUUACUUCUUGAAUUCAAGGAAGUUGUAUAAAUACAUAGACGGAUCAGUUCUAUACUUUUGCAUUAUCAACUUUUUAGGCAAAUGAUUAAAAUAAAAUAAAAAAGAAUUCAAAGCACAAAUGUAGAUUGUCAUGAAUGUCAAAUCUUUGAAAAAAACCACAUCUAAAAAUAUAACACUUUGGAAGAAAUGUAAGUAAAAUAAUAUAUAUAUAUAUAUAUAUAUAUAUAUAAACUAUUAAAGAUUAAUUUUUUAAUUUUUCUAACAUAAAUAGGAUAAAAAAAACUAGUUUUUUAUUUUAUUUUAUUUUAUUAUUCUAUAUUCUAACUUUUUAGAUAAUUUAAGAUAAAAAAAGAUUUUUAAGCACCUUUAAAAAAACCUUAAAAAUAGAUAGAUUAUUACAAUCCAUUUUUAUAGGAGGUGGUAGUAUUUGUUUUUUUUCCAAGAUAUUCAUUGUCUUAUAUGAUUUUAAAAGAGAUACAUGAAAUACGGGAUGGAUUUUCAUAGACUCCGGUAGAUAUAAUUGAUAAAUGACUAGAUUGAUGUAUUCACAAAUAGGAAAUGGUCCAAGUCUACAAUAAUUCAACUUGUUACAAGAACAAAUAGUUUUCAUAUUGUGACAAAGUAACCAUACCUUAUUAUCAAUAUGGAAAUGAUGUUGUUCUUGUAAUAAGCAUCUUUGUUGAUCUUUUGUUAUUCUUGAGCCUCUUUUAGUUGCACCUUUAUUAUUAUAUAUAGCUUAAAUAAAUGAUUUGUCAAAUCUUCUACUGUAGAAUUAUCAACUUUUAAAAAGUUGAAAGUAUUAAGUUAUAGAUGAUAUCUAUAAUUAAUAAAAAAAAAUAGGUAUUUUUUGCAUAGAAGAAUUUAUUAUGUUAUUAUAAGCAAACUUUGUCAAUAGCAAAAGAAUUGUUUAAUCAUCUUGUUGAUAAUUGAUGGUACAUCUCAAAUAUUGCUACAAAACUUGAUUUACAUGCUCUGUUUAUCUAUCAAUUUGAGGAUAGAAAGCUAAAAAAAUUUAAUAUCUAUUUUUAGAAUAUUAAAAAGUAUUUUCUAAAAUCUUAAUAUAAACUGAGUUUUUCUAUCUAAUGUAAUAUCUUUAGGCAAUCCAUGAUAGCAAUAGAUAUUAUCAAGGAAAAACUUGGUUGUUUCUUCACUUGUGAUAGUUUUUAUACAUGGUACAAAAUGUGCCAUCUUAGUAAAAUAAUCUACUAUCACAAAUAUAGAAUCAUAAGAACUUGAGACUAAAAGAUCUGUGAUAAAAUCUAUAGAAACAUAAGACCAUGGUUGUUUUGGAAUGAAUAAAGGUUGGAAAAGUCCAUACAAUCGAUGAUGAAGAAUUUUUGACCUUGAACAAAUAUCACAUGACUGGACAAAGUCUUUCAUUAUCUUCUACAUUUGUGGCCACCAAAAAUUUUUAAAUAUAAGUUUUAAAAGUUGGUUGUAUCCAAAAUGUCUGAUUGCUAGAAAAUCAUGACAUACUUAAAAAGUACAUAAAAAUAUAUAUAUUUUUUGGAAUGUAUAAGCACCCUUCAAAAUUGAGUAGAUUAUUUUUAAACUUGAAUUUGGAAGGAUCAUGAGAUUCAGAAGAUACGUUCUUAAUAUCAUAAAUAAGACAAUCAUAAGAUAUACUUGGUUGAAUUUUCUUCACAAGGUUUGAAUCAAUAAUUAAUGUUGAUUUUAUUGCUCAAAGAUAAAAGUACUUUGGCUUAAAGAGAAUCAUUUUUUGUUACUAAAAAGAUAUGCCUUGUUCUUUUGGUGUAAGAUAAGGAUAUUUAAAAAAGGUGUUUGACAAACCUUAUUAUUUUUUGAAUCAAUAAGUGAUCUUAAAAUCAAAUCUUGACAAAGUCAGGCUCCAACAGGCUUGGUGGCAAUUCAAAAUAUGUGCUGAUAUAAAAUAUUUAAGAUUCUUAUAGUUAAUAUAAAAAAUGACUAGAUUAGAAGUGCCUUCUAGAUGAUGAUGCUAUUUUAAAAAUAAGUUGAAAAUUACAAAAAGCUCUUUGUUGUGAAUCUUGUAGUUGAUCUCGGUUCUUAAAAAUUUUCUUGAAUGAAAAGCUAUUGGAUAAAACUUAUCAUCUGUCUCAUUUGUAAUAAUACAAAAUCCAAAGCAAAGUUUGAUGCAUUUUUUUCUAUAAAAAAUUGCUUAAAAAAGUUGACGUGAUAUAAGAUAGAUGCAAAAAUAAAGGUUAUCUUUAAAGUUUCAAAUACUACUUUUGCUUCUUGAUUCUAUUGAAUUUUGCCUUUAUAAGUCAAACGUGUAAGUGGAGCUACAAUCUAAGAAAAUUUCUUGAUGAAGAUAUGGUAGUAGUUGACAAAUUCUAAAAAAUAUUAGACAUCUCUUAUUAUUUUUGGGAUCUUUCAAUCUAUAAUAGUUUGAUUUUUUUAAGAUCUAUUAUAAAUCCAUCAUUUGAAAUGAUGUAUCUUAAAAAAUUGACUUGAGUAGUGUGAAAUAUUCACUUUUUUUUAUCUUGGCAUAGAAUCUCACAUCUUUUAGUUUUUGUAACAUACUAAUUUUUAUGUUUUUAGAAUAGAUUAAAAUAUUUUUUAGAUAACAAACAAUAAAAUUACUUAAAAAUUCUCAAAAAAUAUCAUUCAUUAGAUGUUGAAAAGAUGUUGAUACAUUUGUAAGUCUAAAAGGCAUGAUAUUGUAUUCAAAAUAUCCAUAUCUUGUUUAAAAAGUAAUAUUUUAUUAAUCUCGUUCUUUGAUGCAUAUUAGAUUGUAUGCUCUUUAUAGAUCUAUUUUUGUAUAGAUCUUAAUUUGAUUCAAUUGGUUAAGGAGUCUAGGUAUCAAAGGUAGUAGGUACUUAUUUUUGAUAGUCAUUUUGUUGAGUUUUUAAUAAUCAAUACACAUUUGCAAUGUUCUAUCUUUUUUCUUCAUAAAUAAAAUUGGAGCUCCUGUUAGAGAUUUGGAAUAGAGUAUGAAGUUCUUGGCUAGAUUUUCUUUAAUAUAUUCUUUGAAUUCAGCUAAUUUAUUUUAUGAUAAACUAUAAAUUGGUCUAAAUAUGGCUUGAACUUAUUCCUGAAGGUCAAUUGAACAGUCAUAGGAACGAUGUUCUGGUAGUGUACAUCUUGAAAAUAUAUAUUUAAAAUCUUGAUAUUGACUUGGAAUGCUACUUGAAGUCUUUUAACUAUUAGAAAUAGAUACAACAUAAAUGACAGAAGGUAAUCCUUCUUUUGCAAUAUGCAAGAAAGCUCUUCCACCUACAAAUAUAAAUUUAAUUAUAUUAGAUUUAUGAAUUUCUACUUGAUGAAUCAUACUCUUAGUUAUACUUUAAAAAAAUUUAAGUCUACAAGAAAUCUAAUCUAUUUUUGGAUUAUAUUUUUUUUAGCCAUGAUAGACCUAAAAUGAUUGGAUUAAAAAGAAAUCUAAUGAUAUUAAAUAUUACAAAGCUACUAUGACCAUUAGUUGUUAUUCUAUAAGAAGAAUUUCAUGAGUAAUAUUUCUUAAAGACAAUAGACGACUAUCUAUGACUUCUACAUGAACAAAUUUAAUUUUCUUCAUUAAAGAUAUGCUUUAUCUUUAAGCAAAUUCUUCAUCUAAAAAAUAUGCUAAGACUCUUGAGUCUAACAAGAAAAAGGCUUUGUAAUACUUAGUUCUUUAAAUAAUAUUUAUUAUAAAACAAAGAAAGGAUUUUGAGAAAAGAAUAGAACCUUCAUUAGGUGUUGUAUAAAGUUCCAACCGCACAGUCUCUAUUGUAGCUAAACAAACUUGUUUUCUGAUAUAUUAUCUUCUUUGAUAAUUGUAUUCCUCAUUUUGUAGUUGCAUCAUUUCUUUUGAUAAUAUUAAACAAUAUAUUUAGAUUCUCUAUAAUACAAGCACAAUCCUUCUUGACAUCAAUGAUUCUUUUCUUGCUUAGUAAGAAGUUUAAAAUGUACCACAUUAAUUUAUAUAUCCUCUACUUUCAAAUAUUUUUGUUGAAAAGACGUUGGCAUUGUCAUUGAAUUAUAGUAGUAUUGAGGUAAACUUGUACGACUUUCAAAUCAAAAUUCAAAAAAUUGAUGGUCACACCUCAAAGCAAAUUCAAUUGCUUGACUCAAUGUUUGGAGAUUAAAUAAGUUGAGCAUCAAUAUUUUUUACUUCAUAUUAUAAUCUAUAGAAAAAUUAGAUAAUAAGUAUAGCAUCAUUUUACUUCAUAUCACUUAUAAGUUGUCAAAACUAUAAAGCAUAUAACGUUAUUAAUUGAUUAUCUUAUCUUAAAAUAUGAAUCUUAUUGGUUGCAACACAAAUUACAUCAUAUUUUCCAUACAUGGAUCAAAAACUCUAUAAAAAAAAACCUUCAAAUUAUUCAAUAUUAGAUCUUAUUAUUUAAUAAAAAAUAAAAAACCAUAAUAAUGCUAAACUUGAAAAGAAUGUAUUAAUAAAUCUAACUUGUGAUCCUAGGAUUGAGUAACUUUAGAGUUGAAGUUCAAUGACAAAUUAUACUUGAUUAAUAAAUCUUUGAAAUUUGGCUCUUGUCCCAUCAAACUUCUUAGAUAGUGCAAUCUUUGAUUCUUUAAUACUAGAAGGAUGUUCUAUUAUAAGAAAAAAAUAUGAUUUUAGUACACAUCUUGAAGCAGAUCUAAUCAUUUUUGUAUUUUUACUCCAUGCCAUUAUUUUUGCUCUUUGUAGUAAUAAAUUGAGUUAAUAAAUUGCAAGCAUUAAUUCCUUCAAUUGCUCUUAUAUUUAUACAAUUACACUCUUUAUUUCAAAAAUCUUUACUAUGAUAAUACUUUUAAAAAAAAAAGAUGUCUAAUAUCACAUAAAACAAAUAAAAGAGAAGACUUGAAAAUAAAGAAAAAAUGCUAAAAAUAAUAUCAAUUAAGAAGAGGAUAAUUUGUAACUCCUAUUGAGCUGAAGUCUUAUUAAGAAAAAGCCGUAAUCCAUUUUCAAUCAAGAAAAGACAAAGCUCUAAUAUUGUAAAUAUACUCUUACCAAUCUAUUAACGACAAGAAUUCAAUGAAAGUAAAUAAAUAAGUGAGGUUUUUUCAAAAAAAAAAAAAAACAUAGAAAUAAAUAAAAAAGUAUAUUAAAAAAAAUUAAAAAAAAAAAUUGGAAUGGCUAUUGCUAAAAGACAACAAAACUAAAAAUUCUUAAAACUAAAUUAAAAAUAGAAAAGAAAUUGACAAGAAUAAAUAAUGCUUUAUUCUUGCGUCUAUAUAACCUACAUACCUAAGAUCUAUGUGGCAACGUUCUAUAAGACCUCCAAAAACGUGUUGACUUUGCAUGACAUAUAUCUUAACUUACAAGUCAAGUUUUCUAUAUAGGCACAACAUAGUUAGCUUGUUCUAUAAGCUACCAAUACAUGUAGCAUGUAGUUAGCUUGUUUACUAAGUUUUUAAUCUAUCAAUCAACUACAAAUACAUGUAAAGUCAAAAUAGCAUCUACAAAGCUUCUAAGAAGCUUUUUUAAAAGGUACUAUGAAAUUAAUCUACUUUUACUUACUACUAUCUAUUCAUAUUAUCUAGGAAAGAAUUACAAUAGAUAUAUAUUUUUGACACAUUGUGGAAAAAGCCAAAGGUAUUGAAUUCUAUAAGAAAAAUAUGAAGAAUUCAUACAAAAUAAUUAUAAUCUUCUAAUUAAAAUACUAUUUUUUUUUUUUAUGCAAAUCAACACAUUGAGAUUAAUUCAAAUGAUGUUUUACAAGCCAUAAAUAUCUUCUAAGAAGGAAUGAAAGCAUGUAAUAGAAAAGAAUCUUGAUUUAUUUUAACUUGGUAUAUAAGAAUUUCUUGCAUUAUCUAAUGGCCAAAAAUCAAUCAACUUAAAAUAAGGCUUUUGGAAGAAGUUUGCUAGCUAUAGAUCUAUGAACCAGCUUAAGAUAUAAUUAGUAGCAAAAAAUUAUUCAUAGAUAAAAUACAUUGAUUACCAUAAGAUAUUUAUAUAUGUGAUGUAUAUUAUGAUAAUUUAUAUUCUUAUUGUGAUUAUUGCCACAUUAAAAUAGAAUAUAUUACAAACUAAAUAUGUCUUAGCUUAUCUAAAUGGUGAAUUGAAAAAAUAUAUAUUUACAUAAAGAAUCCAAAGAAUUUGGACAUUCCAUCUAAAUAUAAGAACAAGCUAUUAUACUUAUUUGUAUGGCUUAAAUAAGUCAAAAGAUAAUGGAAUAUAAAUUUAGAUGUCUUUCAUAUAGAUCUUAGUUAGAAUUUAAUUAUUGCUUAUAUAUAAUAUAUAAUGGUGAUUUAGUGCUUAUAAUCAUCAUUUAUAUCAAAAAAAUAUUAACUAGACAUAAGUUUUUUAAGAUCUUUAUGACAUACAAUGAAAAGUUGUAAAAACAAUAUAUGAAAGACCUUGGUGAAUUCAAUUACUUUUUAAGCAUUAAAUUUUCUAUAAAACAAAGAGGUUAGUCCUAUAUCAUUAAAUCAAACAAAAUAUAUGACUUCAAACUUAAUAAAUCUGGAAUAGAUAAUACAAAGUCAAAUACAACUUCAAUGAAAAAAAAGACAUUUUAUUAGACAUCAAUAUAAUAAAUAAAUGGAUGAAGAUGGAAUAAAACUUUACUAAAGAGUGUUAAGGAUAAGAACUUGAUGAAAGCAAAUAAAUAAGUGAGACUCUUUUAAAGAAAUAUGACAAAAUAGAAAUAGAGAAGUAUGUAUAUUAAAAUGAAAAUUAGAAUGGCUAUUUCCAAAAGACAAGGAAAUUAGAGACUCUUGAAACUAGACUAGAAGCAAGAAAGAAAUUUACAAGAGUGAAGAAGGCUUCAUUCUUGCAUCUAUAUAUACUAUCUUUCUAUGAUCUAUGUGGCAACAUUCUAUAGGACCUCUAAAAACGUGUUGACUUUGCAUGACAUAUAUCUUAACUUGCAAGACAAGUUUUCUAUAUAGGCGCCACAUAGUUAGCUUGUUCUAUAAGCUACCAAUACAUGUAGCAUGUGGUUAGCUUGUUUACUAAGUUUUAACCUAUCAAUCAAUUACAAACACAUGUAAAAUCAAAAAUAGCAUCUAAAAAGCCUCUAGAAAGCUUUUUUAUUAGUUUAUAUUAAUUUUUUUAUAAAUUAAUAGUUUUAAUAAUAAAAUCCUUGUGUAAUUUAUUAUUUUUCAUUCUAUUAUAGAUUUUUGUACAUAAAAUAUUUAAAACGUGGGCCUUGCACUUAGUUACAUAUAUCAAAUAAGUAUAUGACAUAGUAAGUACAAUAUUCAAUAUUUUAUCACUUUUAUAUUAUAUACUUUAAGUAGUUUAGGUCUUUUUUAUUCAUGUUUCUUGUCUUCUUAUAGCCUUGUAUUUAAAUGCUUAAGUUGAUUGACAAUCAUAUUGACCAAAUUCCUACAUCACAAAAAAAAAAAAAAAAAAAAAAAAAAAAAAAAACUUUAAAAGCAAAGGUAUCAUCUCUUAGUACACUACUAUCAAGUCCCUAAGCAAUUGGAAGAUAAACUCUCGCACUAACAAUGAUCUUUCAAACAACAUUUACUACAAUAACCAAUAUUAAAAAUUAGUAAAUUAUUGCAAUAUAAUCCCUCAUCAAUAAAUAUCUAUUCAUAUAUUCACACCAUAAUUUCAAUACCACAAGUUUCAAAAACUUAGCUUUUACUAUAAUAUAUGCUAUCUUUUCAAUAAACACUCACCAUUCCAAUUUUUUUCUUUAUAUAUUUUGCAUACACUCCAUCUUGGUGGCUUUUAAUUCCUUAACAUAAAGAAUAUAUUUUAAAAUGAUAUUAUAGUCGAAUCUACCUUUGAAACCAAGAUGUUCUUGGCUUUGAAAUAGACCUAUUGAGUUAGUGUUAAUAUGUAGGCUAAUGAAGUCUAUAUUGAACAAAAUAUUGUAUACUAAAUAGUUGACAAUCAUUAAACUAUUCUUUUAGAACACUUUUUGUCCCCCUACUUUAUUGACCAAUUAAAAAAGAUGCAAGUUAUAAUAAUGUGGGGCAUAGACAAAAGACUGCGGAAAAGUGGGGCGUGGAGUGCAAUGAAAGGCAUUGGACUGUUUUAGGGCCAGCAAAGAAGCAACAAAUCUUCAUUCUAACUACUGGGCUGGUCAGCCAAUUCAAAUCACAUCCCGAAGCAUUGUAGUAGGCUGUGUAGCCACCGACACGUAGCAUGUGUGGACUGGGCACCAAUCACACAGUCUACUGAAUAACCUAACUAAAGGAUCAAUCACACAAACCUACGUGCAAUCCAGAUGGGACUUAUCUAGUCAUGUUGAUUGCCCAACCAAGCAUUGGCUCAUUCGAUCGUAUCUCGUAGCAAAGUGUGCAAACAUCACAAUGCUUGUAUUUAGAUUAGAUCAAAGCGUGUCAAGCUUUCAAAACAAUGCAGGCAGAUUAACAAAGUCUGCAGGAACUACUGAUUUGACUGAGCACAAUUCAUGACUCGAUAACUACGGCAUGGAGAAAAGCUGCUGGAAGUUUAUAGGAUCCAUCACAUCUUUACCACCGUGAAAAAACUCUCUCGCGAGCAGCCCGUUGGCCUUGUCAGUUGGAUGGAAUGGAUCCCAGAAGAGGUAAGCAGCUCGGUCCGGGCAAGUGCGUACCGUCGGUAGGCAUGGAAUCAGUCCGUUGUACGGUCCUCCUCCGCAACAGCCCUUGUUAACCUCCGUGAAACCUAAGAAUUCAAUGUAUCCACGAUCAGAAACCAUAAUGUGGUAUGGUUGACUUACCCAUCACAUGCUUAACAACUGAACUGCGUAAGAAAGUGGGUAGUGAGCGCUUGCCGAAUUGUGCUGGACUGGAUACAUAUGACGCAAUUAGAUCAUAGACGUUCGCAUAGACGAAGUUGGAUCCAGGGAGGCUUGCAGUGAGUUGCUUUAGGAGAAUUUUGGAUGCGGCGUUGAACCCUCUCACAUAGCUGUUGACAAACUGUAUGCAGCUCCCAUCGGGACUUCUUUGAUUGUAGAGCUGAGAGGGGAUGCAUCCCAGCGGUCCUACGCCGAAGACGACUAUCUUGCGCGCUCCAAGGCCGUAAAGUGUCUGUGGUCAUUGCAAGUUUUGUCAAUGUCUGGCGACAUGCAAGUUCCUAUGUUUAAAUAGAUUUAGUUUCGACAUCUGUGAGGGUAUAGUUUUAGACCCGCAGUUGCUUUUUGAAUUCUGAAAUGAGGAGGUCUUGGUAUUGUUGGGGUGUGUACUGCCGCGAAGUAGCGGACCCCGUAAGCAGGUAAUUAUUAAUGUAGUCGUUGCUUCCAAUGAUGACAGACCACAGCGACUUGGCGAAUACUUCUCCCGUUUUAGCUUCUCCGAUAAGCUGCGCGAACUGGGCCUUUGUGUUUUCCAAGUAAGUUAGCUGCUUGUUCAGAGAUAUGCGCCCAAUCUGCGCGAAAUCAGUCGACGAACCUCCUUAGAGUAUGGAAACCGCAGAUUUCUCAACAUCAAAUUUACCUGAGAAUGCAGAUUGUAAUAAAUCAGUAUCUAACGAUAGACAUACAUAAUUGAAGCCAGUAGAGUCGAGGAUGCCAGCUGCAGCUGAGGCGUAGUUGAUGCCUUGAAGAAUAGCUGGUCCCUGCGUCUCCUUACUCAGAUAUGGUGGAGGAAACGGCAAGCCCAUCAUUUGAACUGCAAUUUCGCCUCAAACAUUUUUAUUAGUAAUCAAGUAAUCAAGAUCGGCCACUGUGUAAAGUAAGAAGUGUGGAAAAUUAGGAACCAAGGAAGUUAACUUUAAUUGUUGUCGAGCGCACCAAUGAAGUCCGCGGUAGUGCGGCCAUUGCAGAAACGUCCUGUGGGCCCCUGAGGAAAGUCCAAGCCAUUCGGACGAAAAUUGGACUUGGCAAGUGUCAGAAUGUAAUUGUUAUUGCCAGGGUCGACUAGCGAGUCGCCGAGGAUGAAACUAGCAGGCUUGACAGUUUGUCCGUUUGAUGCUGUGAUUCCGCUGAAUACGACGAAUAUCAUAGUGAGCCGUAGUAAAAUACCAAUCCUCAACGUGAAGAGUUGCCGUAUUCCCAUCUCUCCACCUACUUCCUCUCAAAUUAUGACCAAUCUGCACAACCCAAAUCUUGUUAACAAAUGCCUAUGUAUUCAGCUACGAUCCUGGCUAUGUCUGAUGCAAUGUUCUCAGCAGAAAAGCAUCAUGCGCCUUCGAAGCAUCGCAUAUCUAAAGAAUCAGAAGACAUUGCACCUGUGCGGUAGGAGCUGUACAGCGUGCCAGUUGUUUAACAACUGCGGGGUAGAAUUCUUGGAGCUUGACAUCGUCCGGUUACUCGGAUUCUGGCACCGGCGACGGGACUGGAUCCUUACAGAGGAAACCGUGAAAGCUCACCUACUGAAAGAUCAGCGCAGCUAAUGCAACAACUGUGAGGGACAUGAGAGCCACCCUAGGUUUGAUGGCACCCUGUACGGACAAACCAAUAGUCUCUGGUGUUGUGUAAGAGCUUGCAACUCCACUUCAGCUUGUGCAUGUGACUCAGCUGGCUCUGCUUCAUUGAUAGCACUAGACGAUGUUGCUCGUAAUGACCCCGAUUAUGCUAGCUACACGGUAAAUUUAUCAAGAGCGACAUACAGUAUAUGUUAAGUAAUAAUCUUCCCAAGGAGCUCGUGAGUUGAGAACAAGAUGGUGAAUAAUUGCACGAGCAUUUCAGUCUGUACAAAUAACUUCGACACAAUCAUCUCCGUGCCUCACUUGAAUUCGAAAAGAAUGCGGUCACUGUCUCGUGAGAUGGCCCAAAGCUAUGCAUCCGACAUUUUGGAAAUCAUCCCCCCCUCAGCAGGAGAUGGAAGUCCCACUUCCAUUAUAUGCUUUAAAAUAGACAACAUUACACAGCCCACAGAAAUUCACAUUGUUUUUAGCCAAGGAUACGUCCUAUAUGUACAUUUUGAACAGCACGUUAUAGGAAGACCGCAAGAGUAUGCAAUUCAACUCCGUUCUUACAACACUUUUUAUCGAGCAGAUCAAAAGCUGCUGAUUCAGCAAUCAAACGCAUUAGACGAAACACUAAUCAACAGUAUAACUAAUCUGAGAACGAGAUCUUGAACAUCCUGUUGGCUAGGGCUUCAUGGAUGCAAGCGUCUUGACGUUCACAGGUUCUAUGGCAUCCUUGCCACCUUGGUAGAAUGCACUGGCGAGAAUCGCGUUGGCCUUGUCGGUGGGGUGGAAAGCAUCCCAGAACAAGAAGGCUGCGCGGUCCGGGCAGGGGAUCAACCCUAAGAGGCAGGGAACGGCGCCAUUAUAUGGCCCCGCCCCGCAGCAUCCCUUAUUCACCACCGAAAACCCUGUGCAGUCAAUCAGUAAAUCAGAUCAGUUGCGUUGCAUUCUGCAGUGCUUCCCAUUCAGUGUCUUAGACUUAGAUCUAUAUCUCUCCCCGAAUGACAGGGCAGAGGGACAAUGUGCUACUCACCGUAUUUGGCUGGGUCGUUAAUCAGUGAAUAAGUUAAAUCAUACGCUUUGGCAAAGACGAAGAUGGAUCGGGGGAGACUUCCGGUGAGUUGCUUCAAAAGAACGCUCGUUGCUGAGUUGAAUCCUCUCACAUAGCUAUUGACGAACUCUAUGCAGCUUCCGUCGGGGCUUCUUUGGUUGUAGAGCUGUGAGGGGAUGCAUCCCAGCGGGCCAACGUUGAAGACGAAAACUUUGCGACCACCGAUGCUGUAGAGUCUCUGUUACGGAGAACGUUGGGGAUAUCAUCAACAUUACAGCCACGUACAAAACGAUGAUAAGUUUUAUUCUUUGAGAAGUGGACGGGUUUCUCUUGGGUUUUCACUUAGUUUGUAGAUAGGGUAGGGGUGUAGUGCUGAAUUACCCUCAACAACUUGUCGAAUUCUGAAAUGAGAAGGUCUUCGUACUCUUGUGGAGUGUAUUGUUGUGAAGUAGCAGAUCCCGUGAGCAGAUAAUUGUUGAUGUAGUCGUUGCUGCCGAUUGUGAUGUAGAAUAGCGCGUUGGCAUAUAGGUCUGCCGUUUUGGCCUCUCCUAUCAUCUCUGUGAUUUGGGCCUUCGUCUUUUCUACGUAAUCCAGUUGCUUGCUUAGUGGAAUACGCCCAAUCUGCCACACAAAACAUCCAUCAAAGCUGUAGCUGUACCAAGUGCUCGAAUUUUUCCAACGAAAAACAUGAAAGAAGCAAAAAAACUUUACCACCUGCAAAGCCUUGAACCUGGGGAAAUGACCAUGCCAAAUUAGUGGAACACUGUCGUGGUAACGAUCAUCUCAAAUAUUCCUCAGCUUUCUCACAAAAAUGCCAAUUUGAAGCAGGAAAUAAUGCAAAUGCAGGCAUUGCACAAAAUUCAAAGAAUUUAUGUUUGAUUCCGUAUUGCGUGCUUAUGCAUUGCGCUGUGAGACGUAAAAGAAUUCCAAGAGAACAGUAGCAAGAGUGCUCUUCAUGUCUCAUUUACAUGAUCUUCUGAAGCGAGGGAUUGCGUCAGUGCAAUUGCUUACGUAGUUGUAUCCAGUCGAAUCGAGGAUGCCAGCCGCUGCUCCUGCAUAGUUGAUCCCCUGAAGAAUGAUGGGUCCUUGAGCCUUGGGACUCAAGUAGGGCGGAGGAAAAGGCAGGCCCAUAAGUUGAGCUGCAGCGUCAAUCACAAGACUUAACCAGAAUGAAUUUCUUGAUUGAAAUUAAAUAAAGGAAGUUAGUUAAAGAAACAAAUGUUCUAGGAAAGAGCAUCCUCUAACGCACCCAAGUUGUCGGCAGUAGUGCGGCCAUUGCAAAAUCUUCCAGUGGGUCCUUGAGGGAAAUCCAGUCCAUUCGGAAGAAAGUUCGACUUGGCAAGCGUGAGGAUGUAAUUGUUGUUGCCGGGGUCGAUGAGUGAGUCACCGAGAAUAUACAUCGCAGGCAUUAACUGCCCCAUCGCAGCUUGCAUGUUCCAGAAGAGGAACAACGCCACUGUCAGCCAUGGUAAACUGGCGAACUUCGGGAAGCACUGAACAGGUUGAAUUGCUCUAGACAUUGUCGUCAAAUUCUGCAAUUUGUAUUUAACAACGCACGUGAGACCUUAAUUAUACUAGUUAUAAAAUUCAGUAAAAUCGUCAUGACAGUUCUGAAGAUGUGAACGUGCUCAAAAACGAUAAAAUGUUAACGGGGGGGCUGAAGUGAACACUUCAAUACUGGUCCUCUACCUUCAACUGCGCAACUCGUAAGCUCUGCCACUCUCCUACCCUUUCGAUUCAAUUGCAUACGGAUGCACAAACAUGAGCUCAGUUCUACUAUCGGUACCGGUUCUGGAGUUCAUAAGUACUGAGGACUUUGAUUUUUGGUGGCAACUCUGCAUCUGAAGUCGUAAAUGCAUGCUGUAUAGUCUCACCAACUCAAAGAUCACCCAUGUAAAGCUGCUGCAUGGAUUUGAUAAUUUGCUCCAACUGUAGCAUGGGUUAAUUCUGAUGAAUAAUGGAUUUUUUUCCUUUAAUGCUGGUGGUCUGCACAGCUGGGAUUGACAAAGUUUGUCAGAAUGUGAAGGAGACAAAUUGAAAUACAGUUGAUAGAAAGUCCUCUGGGCAACUUAUACAUCCCACUUUCGUUUUUCUAAGCAAUGCUUAGUUUUCAGGCAACUGAGAGCCUCACCGACAAGACUCCCAUCUGUGGUGUGGGUGAGUUUCUCUGUUUGGGUUUUUUUCGCAUUACCGACUGCCUGGUUCGAUGUUGGCUCUGAUGGCCACUAUUAUGGUGCAGAAGCGACACAAUGCAUAAGGCGGCUUUCCUCACACUCUUGGAGACCUACAAAGUAUUUAACCCUAGGCAGAUUCAAGAAGACACUCAUGUCGGCGAAGUACAAGAAUCAUAGAAUCCCAGAGAAAACGAAACUCUUGAGUUCUAAGUUUUGGUUAAAUUUAAACGAUGAGUUUACAGAAGUAUUGACGGUUGAAAAUCGUUGAGUUUGUAAACCUCGUCGUAGACAGAAUGGAGCUCCCCUUUUCGGAAGAAACUAAUGACUAGAAUUAACUCCGGCAGCUGACAAGUGGAUCCCAUGAUACAUGCUGAUAAUUUGUGUGAACCUAUUGCGAAGUUAUCUAUCACCUGACAGAAGGGUACUAUGACAACACGAGAGUGAAGUCCAACAUUCGCAGCUUUCCAGGCGAAACUGUAAUAAUUCAUGUAGUACAUGAUGUAUUUGCAAUAUUUGGUAUACGGCAUUGCAUGCUAUAGCGACGGCGUCAGUGUCGUGGCCUCUUAAACUAUUUAUGUCGAAUCGAUAGACCCCAUCAUUUUGUGAUUUAUCCUUGAAACGUAAUGCUGACCUUCCCUCCUGCGAAUGCCGGUAACAUGAUUAGAACAUCGAUAACGCUGAACUCAUCUCUCAACAUGACUAGGUAGUUUGCGGUGAUCUGUCUCUUAAAACUCUCGUCUCUAAAACUCCAGAAACUGAUGCAGAUGUCUGAAACGAAUCCCAAUCAUCUCAAUUGCCGCCUCCAAGUUCAAGCUUGGAGGUGACUCUACAAUGAGCUUCAAUCUGCAGCGUGGAUGGAGAGCGUUGUCAAUGACCAAAACACAAUGACUCCUCUUCAACCCACAUCAGGUUGCUAACAACUCCCGAUGACAUGAACUCACUCUGCCAUUCUGAGCAGCAGACCCGAGAUUAAAGGGGUUGCAAAUCACAUGGUUGUGUCUGUC